AUUCUUUUUCUCUCUCUUUCUUUCUCUCUCUCUCUCUUUUUCUCGACGAAGAGGGGCAAGUUGUCGUGCUUGCGGCAUUUCGAGAUUCGGAUACGAUUGAAAAUUUGUAUUUGGAUGAACGAGAGGUGAAGGAUAUCUUUCUAAAUUUGUAAACUGCGUUAAUCGGGGUUUUGAAUCGUAAUUCUCUCUCUCGAUCUUUUUUAUCGAACGAAUGAAAAUUAUCGAUAUUAAUAUCCUAUUAUCAAGUACACCGAGCGGAUAAAAGUUUUAUUAUGCAUUUUAAACAACGUAUUAACAAUCUUACUACAACUGUUAGAAUAUUAGAUUUAUAAUUAUAAACAAGUAAUAUGUGUAUAUAUAUAUUUACAUACAUAAAUACGAUUGAUAAGAAUCCGAAUGAAAUGAAAAGGGCAAAACGAAUAACAAGAAAAAAAAAGAAGAAGAAGACGAAGAGGAAGGAAAAAGAAAGAAGCAGAGGAGGAGAAGAUCCUCGGUUGGAAAAAUAAUUUACAAACGUUUCGCGUGCGUGGUUGAUAGGUGAACGAUAAGGAUCAGCCGGGAGGCAUUAUUAUUCAACGGCUCUCAGUGUGUAUUAUCCUUAUAAAAGUAGCUAGGAAACGUUAAUGGGUUGAUCCUCGGAUAUAUUGGCCGCGAGAUGAACAGAUACACCGUGUAUUCUCACACAGUGGAUACAAUUAAAGUCUCUGUUAGAGCGUGGCCGUUACACGUUUCUUAGCGGAGUUGCUCACAUUAUCCCUCUUUCUGAUGUAAUUUGUGUGGUAAUCAUCGCUAUUAUUAACCAAUAACCAGUGUAAUUAGGCAGGAUGGUUGGCUGUGCUCGGAUGGCAAGAGACAAAUGGACGCCCGUUACGUCGCUUUAUGCUCCCUCCGUGCCACGGCAACACGUGACGAAUGGCGUACAUAUAUUCAUUAUCGUCGUUCCUCGUCAAAAGGCCGCGAUAGCCUUUUCGCGAACAGGAUUUCGAUGGAUAAACAGAUUUUUUUUCUUCCUCUUCUCUCCUUUUCCUUCGCUCGCUCGCUCGCUCUCCCUCUCUCGAGGCGAGUUCAAUCGAUAGGAAUUUCAAUUCGACUCGUUUCCGAGUCUGGGACUCGGGAAGAUUUAUCUUCUGACGGGCGGUAUCCAUGUGCGAUCGCGAUCGCACGUGAAAAUUGUCAGAUAUGGAAAUUGAUUUCGAUUAGAAUAAAACGUUUUAUGUUUCUCGUACGUCUAACAUUUAUAUUACAGCAGUUUCUUUGAAUAGGAACGAUUUGAAUAAGAAAGGAUAAUUGAUUUGACGCGUUAAACAUCUUGGCUUUUGAAACGAGAAUCUAUCUAACGUGCGAUCCCCAACUUAUAAAUUAACAAAUUCAAACGAAUUAAAAUGUACAAGAAUACGAAAUAUCGAGAAUCGAGCUGAAAAAGUAUUUAAGCAAUACAAUGUUAUUUUUACAUCGAUAUUAAUGUUUCUCUAGAUCGUUUCUCAAUUUUUACGAAUGGUUGCAUCGACUUUCGUCCCAAAUAUCACAAAAAUAUGGAGCAUUGCCGCGGGUGUACGACCGACUUCACAAUUUCGAUUUUAAACCGCGAAGCACUCAGCCUCGACUGCUUCUCCGAAAUUACCCCAUAAACGGGAUCGUUAGAAGCACAAUAGGUCCGAGAGCAAACUACUGGUUCGACUUCUCGACCAGUUGAACGUCGAGAGGCAGGUCCCUCUCGCCAGGUAGACCCCUCGAGGGUCCAGGUAUCUGGAAAACACAAACGUUCCUGAACACACACACCGUGCAACCGAACCGUGGAAACUUUGUGGAGACCUUGUUGAACCUGGCGAUACAGGUGCGCGGGGAAAAAAGCACUCGAAAUCCCGUAAUCCGAGAGAAUACCAUUCCGUCUCUCUCCUCUUUUUUUUUUUCCAUCUUCCUGAGCGGCCACAAAAAAUGCCGCGAGGCGUGACCGAUCCUUUCAGCAGGUUGAUUUUUCGAAUUAAGGGCUGAUUAGGGAUACAGCUCUUGUAAGAAAAAAAAAAAAGCUAGCGAUCUGGUCUGGGAACGAUGGGAUGGAAUGGGAUCACGCGUUCACGACUUGUAACUUUUCACUCGAAAUUUUGUAUUAUCUUUAUCUCGAGUUUUUUUUUUACUGAGAUAAAAAUAUUAUUAAAAUUCUGGGUUAAAAUAAUUUCGAAAUAACCUACGAUUCCUUUAUUCUUCCUUUUUUCUUUCGUGAAUGAAUUCGUAUGCGAUCGAUUCUUUCGUACGCGGGAUCAACUUUGCAUAAUUCGACGAAUACAAAAAUCGUGUCGACUAUAUUUUACAGUAAAUAAAAUAAAUAAAAAGCGUCGAAAAAUACUUCCGCGGCUAUAUUACUUGGCAAUUUACAUUUCGCGAUUACUAACCUCUUCGCUGUAUGGCAGCAGAUGCAACGAUCGAGGGAGGGAGAGAAAGAAAAAGACCCGUGUCAUAACUAUGUUACAAGAGAUAGCCGGGAAAUAUUCAUGCCUUGGAUUAUUUAUCGCUUCGAAGGACCGUAAACAAUGUUCCGGUUGUUCAAUAAUAUACACGAAACGGAUACGUAGCGUCCUCCUACGCGGAACACACGCAACGUUACGUGUAAUUAGGAAAAUUAAUCUUUCAAGAAUGGAGUACAAAUUAUUCCGUCGCAUUCUUUUAAUAAUAUCGUUGGGAAAAAUAUUCUCCAAAUUUUCUUUCAGUUUCAUCGUACAAUUUAACUUUGGAUUCCUGAAAAAAUUAAUCCUCCAUACUUGAACAACUUUCUGCCGAUACUUGAAGCAACCAAGAAAAAAAUCAAUCCAGAUCAAAAGACGUGUCCGACAGGAAGCAUGAAAUCCCUCCUUUUCGAACCAAUUCCGCCAAAUCCGAAACCGAUCGCAGCAAUCUUGCUCCAACGGGAUCGAAGAAAUUAAUCCGCGUUAAGAGGGAAGGAAGGAAGGAUGACUCGGAUGAAACGAAGCGAUCGUUUCGAUUUCGACUUUUAGCUCACGGUGACGCAGCGAGUGUCGGCCGGUCAGCGUCGUUUCGUUUAAACGAAAUCAAUUAAGGCCGGCGACAGGGCUGCCGGCGUAAUCCGUCGGCUGUUACACAGCCGAUUCCACGCGACGUCGGCCACGGCGGGGUGUCCAGUGUCCAAUAGGCUCGCAGGUAUUGCGAAACGCCGUGGGCAUCCAAUCAUGUCGGCGGAUCGUACCUUUAAGCCCGUCAUUACGUCGAAUUAGUCUUCCGGGCUUUCGUCGUGGACCCGUAAUCCGUAUGCCGCGUGUUGCAUCGAAUGGCAACGUCAUCGUUCGAUAUUAUUAUAUGCAGUGUUCGGGGACGCGUUUAAAAUCUGUCAGACGACGAAACACGGCGAUUUUGAUUAAACGCGUUGAUUCCGCGCCGUGUUUGCGAUGGAAUAGAUUGAUGUUUGACGAACUGUUCGAGGUACAGAGGUGCAUUGCUUUUGAUCAUUUCAUCGUUGGUGAUUAAUAAUUUAACAGUUUUAUUGCGACACUUUGUUAUGGUAUUUGAACAUCGCCGUGUUGAUCGGUUUUAUAGAAAGAAUCGUCCUCUAUCGGUUUGAAUCGCAAUUUUCGCGUAUGCAUUUGAUAAUGUGUUUUCUUUUUUAAAUUUCGUAGAAAAAAAUGUUAACGUUUUAAAAUAAAAGGAAUUUUAAUUAUUAAAUAAUUGAAUCGUAAAGCAAUCACCGAAUGAUUUGCAUGAAAUUUAAUCUCGAUCGAUUGAAUACAAAAACGUAUUAUUGAUGAAUACUUGUUAUUUCCUUUUAUCUAUUCGCAUUUAAUAUGCAAUGACACGUGUUCUCGAUUAAAUCCUUGUUUCUCGCUUUGUCAACGCUCCUCUGUAAAUGUUGCAAGAACGAAAGAGACGAUCCACUCCUAGAUCGCCUACGUUGCGAGCAUAAUUACAAUUCAAGAACGUCAGCAGGGCAGAGCAAGCAAGCGCGCAACGAGCAGUUCUCUGAAACGGUAAAUUGCUACUAAUUUCACGCUCGAAAACGAGGAGUGUUUGCAAGAAAAAAGAAAAAGACACCUCGUUACGUGGUAACCGAGCAGACUGACGAAUGCACCAGUUGAUCAAGAUGCGAAUACCUCUAAAUCUCUUCAGCUGUAUAUAUUUUCGAUCGUUAUUCAAUCAACACGAGGAAAUCGAAUGUGUAUUACAAAUUUAUUUUAUUCGAUCAUUGAUAUAAUAAUUAUCCAUAAAAACUUGCCUCACGUAUUUCAUUGAAAAUUCACUCUUAUAAUGACUCUCGUUUAUAAUUAUACUAUUACUAACAUCUGCUAAAAAGAACAAUUCGUAAUAACGUUAAAUUAUUUUUUUCUUUCAGUACAAAAAAGAAAAAAACAAAUUCUUCUAAUCGAACUUUUUCUCGAACGAACGAAAAGAAAAGAAAAGAAAGAAAAAAAAGGUGGAAAAAUUCCGCGACAUGCAAGAUGAAUCGUCAAUUCCCACGUUUCAAAGGGAGCACGCGCAAGAAAAUGCUGACUCGAAACUCGUGUGUCACUCGACCGACUCCUUUGUCGGCCGAUUCGUUAAUCGUGGCGCGGUGGCAUUCCUCCGGACUAACCGGAAACGCGUCGCCCUGGCCCCUUUUCCCUUUUUCUUCCAACAGAGACAAAAAGAAAGAAGGAAAGAAAGAAAGGAAUAAAAAAAAAAAAAAAGGAAAAGAGAGAUAACCGGUAAUAGCCGGCUUGGUCCCACACGCAUAAUUAUCGCCGACAAACCAACAGAUCCUUAUCGAGUCCAGCGUCAUAAUUAUCACCGUGCCGGUGGUCGCUUACGCGUUACACGGCCACGCACAUACCGCGCAUUGUUUCGCUCGAAUUCCGAGCGGCACCGACAGAUGCGCGUAACUCGUGAACUCGGGCCCUAGAGUAAGAGGGAGAGUGGGUUGGUUGGAGCAGCUAUCGUUGCACGCUGUCACGCGAUCGAAAUCGAUACCACGGGGGACAAAAAUCGCGCGCGGCAUUUCGGUCCAGAGAGAUAAAUGGCGACGGCCGCGCGGUCUGACCAUAAUCGUCUUAAUCUACUUGACGCGCUCGUUCAACGCAUGACUGCUUGAAUUUCUUUCGACUUUUUAUCGCUUUUUCCUUCCUUCCUUUCUUUCUUUCUUUCUUUCUUUUUUUUUUUUUUUUUUGAUGUAAAUAGUUUCACUAUCGAUACGUGGUUGCGAAUCGUUGCUACUGCAUUCCGAUAGAUCGAUAAGACCGAUGGGAAUAGGGAAAUGUGAUUGAUUAAAUGGAAUGGGGAAUUAGUUGGGAAUUAAUCGAGAGUCGGGAAUAUUGGGUGUAUAAGUGAUUGGUUGAUAAACUGGUUGUUGAUAAAUUUAAUGGUCUGAUGUUUGUUGGAUACGAAGAGGUAAUUUUUCGAAAUAUCUUUGAUAAGAAAAAUGAUCUGAUGGAAAAUUUGAAGACUAACAUCAAAAAUGAAUGGAAUAUGACGUAUAUAGUCACAUUAGAAAUUUAUUUUCAUUGAAGUAAGACUUUAGAUUGUGGAGAGUUAAUAAUUGACAUGAACUGUUUAAAAAUUUUCGUGUAAGUAAUUUUUAAGUAUUUUUUUUACUAUAAAUAUUUUCAUUGUUUAAAAUAGUUGCUAUUUUCUAUUACAUAGACAUUGCUUUGUACGAUCUGUUUUGUAUGAUGAAAACGAAUUAUUUUUGAGGGGCGCUCAAUUGUACGAAUCGGUGACAAUUAUACCCAUGUGCGCCAUCAGGGAUCUCGUUUGCACUAAAUUACGAGUUAAUCGGUUGAAAAUUUCGUGAAAUAGACGCCUGCUUUAUCGACUUCACGGGAAAGUAGGGAUUUCAUAUCGACAUAGCAGAGUAACCCCUUCAGAAGAUUCCAAUAACGUAUAUUAUAUUUUCAUUUCUUUGGCAUUCCAUACAUUUUCAAAAAAUCGAUAUUUCGUAUUAAAAUUUAAGAUAUCAAUUAAAAAUAUUUCUUUUAUACUUAUAAUUACGCGUUGUAGAGAAUUGAAAUUACGAUUAUCAAUAAUAUCAAGCACUGAGUAUCGAAAUUUCUUCAUUAAAAACUAUAUUUCAUCUUAAUCGUCAUUAUAAAAUUGUUUCUUGACUCUAUAUUAUUUUUAUAUCAGUUGAAUAUCAAUACCACCCUAGGGAUAAAUUUCUUUCUGACAAAUUCGCCAACAGAUGUCGCUAAGGUUCAGUCUAGUAACUUUAUAGGACACGAUCGAUAAGUGAAACGGAAAAGUUUACUUCCUUAUCGAUGUAAGAUACAAUGAAUAACCUUGAAAACGUUCCCUCAAAUAUUUUCAAUAUUAUUAUGCACGACACAUCUAAUUCCCGUGUUAAAUUGAAUGCCAACUAAUCGAAUUAAAUCUCAAAUUAACAAAAUAAUGUAAUAUCUCCUCUAUCCAUUACAUUCCGAAAAUUUAUUCCCCUACUUAAUAACCACUCUUCUCGUUAUCAAUCUCAAUUUCUGAAUCUGUAUCGCCAAUAUCUUGAUGAUACAAAAAAGAAGAACACACAAAAGUGUAUCGCGCAGAAUUGCUCAAAACAACCCCCGUGCUGAAAAAUAUCCGCCGCUAGAUGUCAGGAGAAUGUCCUGACAGCGCUAACUAGUGGGAAUCGCGGUGACUGUUUCUCCCGCCUAUCGGGGAGAGCCUCGAGGGGAGAGAGCCAUAUUCCCCGGAAAAUCUGCACCGUUGGAAAAGCGCUGAUGGGGAACCCGUCGAAAGUAGGCGGGGCAUUGGUCGUGCAGCGUGUUUGCACCGCAGAAGAAGUGGGAAAAAGGCCGAGUGGCUCGCGCCUGCUCAGCUUUUUUCCUCUCUGUCGCCCUGUCUCGCUCUCGCUCCCGUCUAGGCGGAGUUUAAAAAAAGAUUUCGCGCGUCGUGAGGGGGGAGGUGGAGCCACGGACGCGCGGAAUUCCGGAAUUUCACGAGUCCCCACGGCGGGGGAGGAGAGCUGGAGACGGCGACGGCGGCCCUCGAGAAGGGAUGAAGGGGAAAAGCGCAUAUAUCGAGUCGGUGCGAGUUUCGCGCGAUGGCAGGCGCGAGUGAGAGAGAGAAAGAGAGAGAGGGAGGGUAACGCGCAGGGAAAGUGGCGAAGGGGAAACUCGCCUGCUCCGGGCAGACCGAUCGAGCUCGACAACAGCCAGUUCAACGCGUGCCAACCCUCUUUCGAGAUACUGUCUUCUGUCGUGACGAGUAAACUGCCGCGUCGGUUUAUCCUUGUUUUCCCAUUCGUCGACUCGAAUUCCUCAUUCGUGACGCGGGAUUCGAAAGGGAUGAAUUUUUUUUUAUCGCGAUAAACAAAAGUGUGUCUAGAAUAUAAUAUUAAUAAUAAUGAUACUAAUACUAAUACUAAUAAUAAUAAUAAUAAUAAUAAUAACAACAACAAUAACGUGACGUUUGCAGUGAUCAGUGGAGUUUCGUUGCCAAGUUUGAUGAUAUGGUUUGAUGAGACCGUGGUUAUCGUGGUCAGCUAUGAUGGGGAGGCUGUGUAGAGAGGAGGAAGAGUUCAUACGCGGUGGAUGGCUCAUUGAGCUCAAGAUCGUUCAAAGUUGCUUGGUUCGUAUAAUUAUAUCUGUCAUGUACCUUCAAAGAGCUGUGGAAGGAUAUACGUUUAGGGAGAAUGAACCUUUAACGGGGUAGUGGUAGCUGCGCGAUUAGGUUUAUUUGGAACGCAUAUACCCGGAAUCACGUGGCCGAGUGACGGGAGUAAUGGUCGACUAACGACUCGCGAUCUUUUGAAGUUUAGAUUCGAUGGUGAACGUUCGGCUGUAAAUGUUCAUCGAGUACACCAUCACGUAUCUUUGACGUGGGCUUCUAUUUCCGUUCGUCUUGUAACCGCGUUGUUAGGUCCGUCUUCCACUGUCCCCUUAAAUUUACGACGGUGCGGGGCGGAGAGACACGUACGCAGCACGCACACCCGGAAAGGGCGUACUUAGUCAAGGCGGCAACGACUUUUAAAGGGAAUAGAACGAAUUGCACCACCGAUCAGGGACGUUCCGACGAAACGAUUACGAGUGUGUAAAUAUGUUUCCACUCCCUUCGAAGCCAGUUUACUUUCUCGUCAGAGCGAAACUAACGACGCGCCGUUAUCGUCGUACAGUUGAAAGUGGUCGUGUGUACCUUGGCAGCGAGAAGUGAUAACCGCGUUGUUAGCUGCGAAAUAAGCCCCGUGACAAACACACGCGGCCUCAACGAUAGCGUGAUAUAAUAACGAUAAGGAACGUUUCUCCAAAAAAGAUCAACGAGUUUCACUCUACGUGGUAUAUACGAUAACCUUGAUAAACUGACCCCACGAUAGUCGGCCACGAUAAGGAGAGAACCAGCGUUUCGAUAUCUUCAAACACAUCAAUUCCAAACUCCACUUCAUCCAGUUCUCUCCGCGUUCUUCAUUUUAUCGAAAUUUUCCCACCAGCAAAGUGAACGAACGCUUCUUUCGAAAGGCCAACGUAUAAAUCUCUCUUAGAAUCUGAAAAUCGGAAUCCGAAUCAAUCUACAACACGUCUAACAACAAUCUUCCAAUAUCUUACAUAUAUCGUUACACAUAUAUCACACGACUUCCUUUAAGGAAAAAGAAGAAAAAAAAAAAAGAAAAGGAAAAAAAUAUCACACCGCUUUUCCUCGCGUCACCAGCAUAAUAUAAUCGCAGCGUGGAGAGCGCGUGACGCGUGCUGGCUACAUCGCCAAGUCCUUCUGCCCCCCACCACCGCGCGGUAUUUCUCGCGCAACUUCCCCCUCCACCGACGAUAUUUCACCACCCCUACCAGGAACUCCGGUACGCGGACAGCGGCGACAAGGACGCGGCGAUCGGCGUACGCACGAGGCCGAGUGUAACGGAGCACGUGGGCCGCCGGUGGGGGUGGAGGAGGAGCGAUAAGACUGGAGGGGAAGCGUGGCGGAGGCACGGCGAGAGGGGAAGUUACCACUCCCCUUCCACCAACCAGCGGAGCGCGUUCUCUCCCACGUAACGGCGCUAACCGACGGGACCUUUGUUGCCCGCCACGCUCGAACGAGUGUCCCGCUCGAGAGUUUGGACGCUGGUGCCGCCCAGCGGUGAUCGCGGGAACUUUCGCCUCUCGGUGGUGGGGACGAGGAGGCAGCUGGUGGGGGGACCGCGGCGCGGUGGUGGGGGUAGAGCGUAGAGGGACGAGUGGUGGGGAUGAAUGCAGAGAACGGAGCGAGUACGAGGACGGGGGCAUGCUGCUCUCAGGACGCGCAGAACGUCAGAGUGGGUCGAAAAGGACGGGUGUAUCUCUCGUUCUCGCUCUCUCUUUCCCUCUUUCUCUCUCUCUUUCUCUCUAUUUCUCUCUCUCUUUCUCUCUCUCUCUCUCUCCGACUCUCUUUCUUCGUUUCUUUCGAUCAUUCGUCCCUCUCGCUCGCUCCUCGUGAAGAGGCAGAGAAAGAGAGGCCCGAUGGCGGGGUGAGAGCCGGCUUACUACGCGGCGAAACGCUACCACGGCGUUCAGUCGUCAGCGAUCAGACCGCCGGGCAGUGUGAACCUUCCUGGGCAGUCUCUUCAUCUAACCACUCUUCCUCUGCUGUCGUCCCUUCACGGACACGACGCAGCGAUCGGCAUCUGGAAAAGUUGGAGUACAGUUUCCGAGAUGGAUUUGCCCGAUGAUCCCCUGAUAGAUCAUCGCGGCCUCGAUGGAGGGAUUGAGAACAAGCUUCCAAGGAGCGGAGUAGAGGAACGAGGAAGAAGAAUUCAACACGAGAGAGAGGAAAGAAAUCGAGUGAAUUUACGAGAGAGAGAGAGAGAGAGAGAAAGACAGAGAGAGAGAGAGAGAGAGAGAGAUAAUAUUUGCUGUGGGACGAUUGCGAAAAAACGAUUUCAAACCUUCGGCUACGAGGUUCGCCGCAACUCUGUGACAGAACCGAGGGCCUUCAAGGACGCUCGCGAGCCGUUCGAUAACCAGGCUAACAGAUGUUGGAAAAGAUCUUGCCCUGCGAACCGAUUGCCGCGGUUCAAACUGGCUGAGACGAUCGUCGCGGGAGCAUCGAAAAUCUUAGAGAAUUCCAGAAAUCGUUGGAUAUCGAGAAGUUGGUUUAACGACACCCGAAGAAUACGAACUUCGCUCGCAUCGAAACUCGAAGAUUUCAGGAUUCUGGGGAAAAAGAAGAAUCGAAGAAUCGAGCUCCGAAUUUCGAAAUUUCCAACGAUAUUCGAACACAGUGAAUACACGCAACAAAUUGUAUGGUCAUAGUGAGGAUCUCGUUCGUUUGUGCGCUCGUUCGGGCUUGCGUCGAGCCACGUGGUGCUCCGAAUCGCGCGAACGAAUCUGCGCUUCAUAAUUCUCGCGCGUAUGCAACCUUCCCUCUUUGCGAAACCGCGUCUCGAGGAGGUGAAAACGAAGCGAGAGAAUCGAAAGGUGAAUCGAAAGUAUCAAUAAUUUUCCUUCGUUGCAUUGUCGAGCUAUGUGGUGCCGUUCGAAUCGUAUUUAUGCAACGAAGAAACGAGAAACUGUUCACGCUUCGACGCCAGCCGAAGAUGUUGGAGGUUUUUGAAGACUCGAAGAUAGUGAGACAGUGUGAACGGAUCGGUAAUGAAACGGAUCGACGAUGGAUCCGGAAGAAAAUGAAAAUGAUAAAAAAAAAAGGAAGAAAAAAGAAAAUGAAAAAUCGAAUAAUAAUGACGAAUGGUGUGGUUAAAUUUAAAAUAGUCGAAUGACGUAUAAAAAAAAAAGAAAGGUAUAUUAAUUGGGGGAAAAGUGGGAGGAAUAUAGCUGCACGUCGAUUUUAUUCUUGUCGUCGAUUAAUGAGACGAUUGAAGGGAACGAUUGAAGAGAACGUUACGCUUUACGGACGUGUUAGCAGCCGACGGCUCUUUGCCAACGAGAUCGUCACGAAUCAACGAUGAACAAGUGAGAGGUGUGUUCUACGCUCGGUUGGAAGUGUGCAUGUUGCUUAUAGUGGCGGUAUUAUUCGGUAAGGAUAAGGAAAAUGGCGGGAAAAAUUUGGAAGUGUGUCGGAAUUUCGAGUGCACGGGCGAAAUCACGAAGAUGGAAUCGGUAAUGAAUAUUUUUUUAAAAGAGAGGAAAAGUCUCUCUGGUCACAGUGAGGCGAUUUCUUUGAUAAUAAUAACGAAACGUAUUAACCCUAUAUUUAACCUUUAUUUUUACAUCGGAUUCGAUAGAAUUCUCCUCGAGAGAAGAUACGUAAAGGAUAUUAUUAUAAAUUAAUCUAAUGAUAGGGAUUACGUAGAAACUUUACAAAAUACCUGGGUAUCUUCGAACCUUUUCCUUGUUAAAAAGUUUCCCCAUAAAUUUGUCACUGUCACAGAAAUGAUAUACGCCCCGCCAGCUUCGAAAUCUCGUCGAAUUAUCUCGUUCCACUUAUCAGGGAAUAUUUCCAAACAAACGGCCACGCCCCCGCUUCUAAAAAAAUCUUCCCUUUGAACAAACUGGCCGAAACGGGAUACUCGAACGUCGAGGAAAUAUUUACAACACGUUGCGUUAUAAAAAUCUUCUCGAAAAAGUCUCGUUCGAAAUCACCUUCCAUGAAAUAAAAGUAUAUACAUUCUCACCUAGCCAUGUAUAUCGUUCUCGUUACGAUAAAUCUCGUAAUAUCCCAGAAGCCGUUUUAGAUUUUCGACCUAAAAUUCUCCAAAAAUAUAAUAAAUUAAAGAGCAGAGAAACGCCACUGUUCUUCAAUCGAAAGAACAUGAACGUGAACGAGUGAAAAGGGAAGGAAGGGAGAGAGAAUGAAAAGGAAAGGAGGACGUUUUCGCGCGGGGAGGGGGUGGUUGGGAGGGCCCCGUUACGUCAUCAAGGUUGGCGAGGCGCCGAGGAAUCCGGCAAGACGAUACGGCCCUGCCCUCGCCGGCCAGAUAGGGUAUAAUCAUGGCGAGUUUCGUAUCUCGAAGGGGCACACACAGCGAAGAUGGUCCAACAUCUGCCGCUGCAGGGAAUCUCUGCCCACAUGCUGGCCCUAGUGCGCGUACGUACGCACGCACACCGGCAAAAAGUGACAUAGCUACACGCCGGGACGUCAUGUAAAUUCAUUCGAAACACAUGGCAGGGCCGAGCCGGCGGUUCCUUCUCGUUUCUCCUCUCCGAAAGGGUUCCUUCUCCGCCACCGAGCUGGAAUCCGGGGAGGGGGAAGGGGGAUGUUGGGUAUAAAAAAGGAAGAAGAAGAGAAAAACAGACGAUAACUUCGACUUUUAGACAAGGAGGACGUCCUCCUUCACCUUCUUCCUUCUCGACCUCUGUACUGGGGGACCACCUCGCUUGAAUCCCCCUCUUUUCAAUCGCCUCGGUUCGAUCCUCGGAUUUUCGAGGUGUCCAAUGGAGUUGACAAUUUGGCACAACGGUUGUCGCGUUGGGAGAUCAAGAUUGGUUCACGAAAUUUUAAAAGGAUUGGUACAAGUGCAAUAGAAAGAGAAAUUUGAGGGUCAAUAAAAAUAAAAGACGGUUCGCUGAUUAUGAUAUGUCAUCAAAUUAUUGAUGGAAAAAUAAGUGUAUUUGUAAAAAACUAGUCUCUUGAAAAUUUUUGAUUAUUAUUUUAUUUUAUUACAAUAUUAAUAUAUUUAAGUAUAAUUUGAUAAUAAUGAUAAAGGAAUGAGGAAACUACAUUUUCAAUGAUGGGCCAUAAAAGGGAUUAAAUAUGAAUUAUAUGGAACUUUGUUUGUUUCCAUUACAAUAAUCCUCGAUUGUACAUAGAAAAAAUUCAUUUUUUUUAAUCUAACAAAAAAAAAGAAGAUCAAAUAUAAAUUGAAACGUAUUGAUUUCAAUGGUACAAUUAAUUCUUUUCAUCGAUAGUUUUUCAAAAAAUUAAUAUUUUUAUAUACCGAAGAAAGGAAGGAAACAUUUUCAUACUAAAUAAUAUCACUUCACAUUUAAUUAUACCUUCCCAAGGAAAAUAAAUUUGAAAGACUAUUCGAUCAGAAGUUAAAACCCAUUAGAAAAUCAUGAUCGAUUUAAAAAAAAAAAUUCCGUCUUUCAACGAGUCUUCACGAUAGGCCGCCAUAUUGGAUAAAAAUAAUAAUAACAACAAUAACAAUAACAAUAAAAGAACGAAAUUAUCGGUUCGAAAAUCGAGAAAAAAGGGAGGGGAGGAAGGGAAAGCAACAGGAAGAAUAUAAAAAAAAGAGAGAGAUCCGAAAUAACAGGGUAUUCGGAUAACGAGUGUUCCUUUUAACGAGGGUUUCCAAAGAAAUCGUUAACGGGGUAAUUCUCGCGUUCCACAGCUAAUUACACGUCGAAACCAUGAAAUUCCACCGUUCCUUGAUUCAUUAUGCUGACACGAACAGACAAUAAUGGAUCGUCUUUUGUUUUCGAUUCGUCAAGUUUAAAACCAGGGGGAUUUCGAUUCCGCUCGAAGAUAGCGCAGGGAGGGGUGUCUCGUUCAAGCGUUAAUCGGUCGAAAACCUUGGAUAGAAGAAGGAAAAUAAAAAGAAAGAAAGAAAGAAUCAGAAAUUGCGCGGAUAAGAAAGGAGAUGGAUGGAUAGAUGGGUGGAAUUUAGAGAGAAAGAGGAAUUACGGGGAGAUGAAGAAUAGAGGAGGAUGAAGAGAGACAGAGAAAGAGAGAAAGGAGGAGGAGGAGACGGGAAAAUAGAAGCAAGAUCGCCGCGUGGAGAAUUGCAGAACUGCCUUUAAUUAAAGCCAUCAAGCUAGUUGAACAAUUAUCAUUAAUUAUGGACGUUGGUUGGCCGCUCACACGAGCCGUCGUCAUCGUCGUCGUCGUCGUCGUGGCUGUUUAGAGAGCAAUGGUUCAGCUUCGUUCGCGUGCACGUCGUCAAUUUGAAAGGGGAAGGUUAGUGAGAAGGAGGGAAGAAAAGGGAGAAAAGAGGAAGAAAACAAAGAAAAGUAUCGAAAUCGAGAAUGGGAAAGAAAUAUAGAUGCAAGGAUCAUCCCUUCUCGAUAUACUUUUAUCACUUUGUCACAUUUUCUUCUUUCUUUCAAUGGAACUUCCAUUAUUCUAGUUACCGAAUUAAUUAAAAUCAUUAUUAUACACUAUCUCUACGUAUAAUAUUUUUCCUUAUGUAGAAUAUUAUAAAGAAUAGAAUUUCAUUUAAAAUUAAUAUUGAACACAUAACGACAUGUUAUCGAAACCAAAUCAAAAAAUAGUUUUGAGAAGAAAUUAGAGAAAGCAAUGAGAAUCUAUUUGAUUCGAAUAAUGGAAGUUUUACCUCUGCGUUCAUAACUCGAAUUCGACCUCUUCUUUCGAUCAUCGAAUCAUUGGACGGCCAGAUCAAUCGAGUUGAUCUUGGACGAGAAAGAUAUAACCUUUUACGGCUUGUUGUACGAAAAAGGAAAUAACGGAACUUUCCUCUUUGAUUUCCUUGGCGGAGGUGUAAAACAAAGAUUCGGCGGUUGGGGGGAGAAAGGAGGAGGACGGAGAAAGAAUAUCUCGAGGAAUUCGACGAUUGUUCAGAGGCGUUUAAAAUUCUUCGGGGUUGUUGGGGUCGAGAAACGAGACGCGACGACGGCUUUGGCCUGUUUUUACGUGGGACGAGAAUUUCGAAAGCGUCGGCGAACAAGCGUAAAGAGGAUCGCUGCGCAAUAAAAAUGACGAUUUACGUUCGACGUCAUCGUUAUAAAACCGGGGGCCAAUGACUCGAUGAGCCACCCGUCUCUUCUGUCUUCCCUUGAUCUACGCACCCCAAUUCUCUUUCUCGAUCCUGAAUCACCCAUUAACUUUUCACGACUCUUUAUUAUAGGCUUUGUCCCGAUAUCGAAAUAAUUUGUUCAUUAAUUCAUUUUGCCUCUCCAUAUACGAAAAGUUUCUUGUAUUUAAGAUUUGAAGAUUUAGAAUGUGGAAAAUCUUUUAUUUCUUUUUUUCUUUUCUAAAUUUCUUCGUCUACCUGAGAUGCUAAUUUUAGUUUAUGGACAUUCUUUAUUACGUUUCAAUUUUAGUACGAAUCAAUUGUAUAACUGUUCUUCUAUAUUUUUAGCAUCAAAAUGAUUGCAAAAGCGAGGGUGUAAAUACAUAAAUAAACUCAUCCCGAGUUAUUAAGAAAUAAUCACAGGAAUGAAAAUUUCGAAACAACUGGUUAGACGAAGUUUUCUUCUUCGAUAGCAUCUUAUUAUUUAUCAUCGUGCUUUAUGUCCAUAAUAAAUAGACUUGGAUACCCUAUUAUGCCCGUGUAUAGUCUUUAACCUCCGCUCAAUCCUAGAGUAAACUAUCAAUUUACUUUUCAAAGAAUAUGAAAGGAAAUAUUAUUGUCUUAUAUUUACCUAUUCCAACAACUUCGAUCCAGGUUUUCGAUUGUCGUUUAAAUUACCCUUGAAUAGUUCACAUUAACUCCUAAAUAAAAAAAACAAAUCUAGAAAUAAUCUAGUAAAAUCUUCGAUCAUUGAAAUAUUACUCAAAUAUUUAAAUCGAAAUAAUAUCCCAGCCUCAAGAAAAAUUUCGAUGCACGUAUCUGAUCUCCGCGAAAAAUAAGAUCAAGAAAAGCGAUCCAAAAACAGACGAAAAGAAAGGAAAGUGAAUCAACCUAACAAGUCCCUUGAAAAAAAAGCGCGGUUGGUGGCUAAUCGUCUCGCGCCCCAUAAUUAAUUACGCGUUAUCUGGAACAGGCCCCGAUUACGGUGUCCCUUAACGGGACAGCGAUGGUCCCCCGAUAAUAGGCCAGAUAGAGUGGCCUUAUUAGGAAAAAUGUAAGGUUCGGCCUUUUCGGUGUUUUACGAGCGGAAACCCGGCCAUAUUUCUCCGUGAAAUUUAACGAACCUCGGUUUGCCCGGAUGGGACACCAUUAAAAAAUUCCUGGCCGUCAUGUGGCGUCGUGGCGCGCAAGCGGCCGAUAAACGGCGGCGUAAACGCGAGGAAUGAUGAUAUUACGAGACGUUUCGCGCGGAAAUAUACCCUGCAGAAGUGGGAUCGGCGAGAAAAACACUGAUUUAUCGGACGCGGGCUUAAUUGCGCGCGAAGCCGAUUUAUGAGCCGUGUUACCGUUCGAUGAAACCGUGUUGGUUCGAGGUCACGAGACUCGUCAUCUCGUGGAAGAGAUCCUACUGUUGAAUUUUCAUUUCUCCUUUUGUUUGCUUGCUUUUUAUUUUCUCUUUCUUUUAAUUAUUAUUUAGGGGAGGUUGUUUCGAAAGUGGAAACGGGAGAAUUCGUUCAACAACCCGAGUCAAUUAAAACUGUUUAAACUGCGCGUUUAAAGUGUGUUGUCGAUACGAAAUUGAAUUAGACGGAAGAUUGUUUGUGGAAAUUUUUCGUGAAACGCUGAAAAUAAAUAUCGGCUGGAGAUGAUAAAGUAAUUUUUUUCCAAAAUGUGGUUUUUCGACAUGCCGAUGGUAAAAAUUAAUGUUUUCGCCAUCUCUCGGGCGCACAACCGGACGGACGUUUCAAUUAUUUAAGCUGACAACGAGCGCACUCGGCCGAAAGAGUUUGGAAACUCGAAAGUGCAUUUCGUGCACGUAACAAACUUAAAUAGACGGAUCGUGUGCACGGGUUGGGCCGCGACUAUUAUCAGAUCAAUAAUUGGCGAAGGAGGGCCGAACUUGCCGAACUUGCCGAGCCCGUUUCGGGUUAAUUCCCGUCUAUCGAGCCUCGUGUCUGUCACUCGUGUGGCUUGCUCGAGGGGGGAAAAAAUAACGAGUCUCAUCGCUCGUCACGGGAGAAAUGCAGUUGCCGUGUGAACUGAAACUGCAUCAAACUUGAAAAUAUCCCUUGAAGAUCCCUUGAAGAUCGAGAAGAUAAUUUGAGAAUCAGAAUUAAGAACAAUCUCCCCCUCUCACGUUACGCAUGAUUUUCGAAAAAUGGAAAAUUUUAAAAUAUCUGUUACAAACAAAAUCUUUUUGAAUCGAACAUUCUUUCCAGACAGAGAUAUUUCAUUACACCAUAUCUUCUAAAAAAAAAAAAAAAGAAAAAGAAUAAAGGAAGAGAGGAAACUAGUAUUUCAAAUUUGAAAACUACCAAUCAAACUCCACUGAAUUUUAAAUACCACAAACACUAUCAUUAUACUUGCAUUUACUCUCCCCUAGAUCCAAAGAAACGGUGCUUAUUUCGAGCACACCCAAUGUUUUACAAACAAAAUUAUGACUUCAAGUCCAAGACCAAUUACCCUUAAAAAGAAAGAAAGAAAGAAAGAAAAAGAAAAAAAUUCAUCGAGAAACUAAAUUACAGUCCACCAUUUGAACCAUCUCUCCAAGUUUCUUCCUUCCUUCCUUUCUUUUUUUCCCUUACUUUCUUUCUUCUUUCUUCUUUUUUUUUCAAUCCAACCGAGAAGAACAAAAACUUUAAACGUACGCAUCGAACCAACAUGAAAGUAUAAUCCUUCUCCUCUCGAAGAAGGUAUUACACGCGCAGCCGAGGCGGCGUUGUGUCUACGCGGACAGGAAAAAGCGACCCCCCGCGCUCGAAAGGGGUUCGAAAGAAACGGCAUCACGUAUUUCUACGAUCGUGCCGUGGCAACAGGAGUAGCAAAAUCGACGACGUUUCGCGCAUAAUUAAGCAGUUCUCGGCCCCGUAGUAUUUUAGGGCCGAGGUGACGUCUCUAUCCCGUGCGGCUCGCUCAUAUCGCGGGUGUUUACUCGGAUUUACAUCGCGCAUACAUAUGUAUGGAAGAAACUACGAUUUGUAUCGUCACGUUGGCCAAUUAAGGGGCCGGGGUCGUUAACGAAGAGAAUAAUUAGAAAGCGUUGGCAAGCCGGCCGGUGUGGACGACCUGGUGUGCACGUACUCUUUUUUUUCUUUUCUCCAUUUUAUACGCCAGAAUACACCGCUCCGAGUAGCCACGAUGAGGGCAGAGAGAGAGAGAGAGAAGAAAAUGAAAAAUAAGAAAUGAGAAGGAAAGGAAAAAAAUUCGCGCCACGUUCCAUAAACGUGGUGGAUAAAACGCGGGGAAUUAAUAUGUCUUAGCCGGACAUAUUUGCAUUCGGAAUGCCUGCAUAUGAAAUGGGGAUGUUCGGCCUCGAGGCGGGCCUGGAAUAACCGAGAAACGGGCAAUUAAAAGGGGGUAAUUGGGUAGAUUCCUUUUCGCGCGACCACCCAGGGUAUGUGUGUGCUAUUAUUGUCGUUUGAGACCGAAAUAAAAUUGUCUAGGAAUUUAUAGCUUUCUUUGUGUUUCUCUAAAAUAUUCAUUAUUGAAAAUUAAUAAAAAAAAUAUAUAUAUGAAUAAGAAUCGAAGGUCAGUUUGUAUUUCAAAAGUUUGUUCUAAAGAGAUUAUUUUAACAUUUCGUAAUUUUUCUCUUUGCUGAAGAUAUUCGGUGAAAUUGUAUUAAAAAAGGAUGCAAUUAAAUAGGAAAUAUUAUCAGGAAUAAAAGACAGCGAGAAUAUAGGAGAAGAAGAAAAUUAGUAUUACAGUAUUCCCUUGCUCCUUUGCAGAUUUUAAUUCUGAUUGAUACUCGCUUAAUUACUACCUUCAAGGAUUAAUUACGGACCAGUUAGCACAAGUAUCCAUACUCGUUCUGAGUCUGAUCAGAAUUUAAUUUAUCCAACAUUUUAUCGCCCCAACUUAUACUCAUCUCGCGAUAUACACGUUGCUCCUUCCUUCCGCUAUCACUCCCAUCCAUCUUCUAUCCCGAUCCUAAUUUUACUUUAUAACAUCCAGGAACUGUUGAGUUAUUCAAAGAUUCACCCUUCGAAAUGCAAUUAACAACAAAGCGGAAAGCGAAUAACGAACACGAUUAACGAAUUUGUUGCACAAAAAAGAAGAAGAAGAAGAAGAAGAAGAAAUAUAUAUCACGCGAUAUCGGAUCGAUCCAAUAAAUUCUUAGUUCGUCGAAAAAUCGGUGAAAAUCGACAUCGAUCGGAUCGAUUGGACGCGUGAAUGGACACGACUUUUUUACACACGCUGGAAAAACAAAAAAAAAAGGGGGGAAAGAAGAAAAAAGAGGAGGAAAAAAAACAGCGCGUACGCGAUGGUGAAUUAAUCGUCUCGAUGGUCGAUUCGCGGGCCGGGGAUCGGAUUUGUUGUUUUCACCGUUGACGCAGAUUUUUUCCCUUCCCUCCCUUCCCUCCCCCCGCCCGAGAGACACGCUCGCGAAUUAAUGGUGAUGGUGGUGGUGCUCGAGUGGCGGUGUUUCGGGAGAGGGGUUUCGAAUCAAGCGAGGGGAAAAAAUUUGAUAAACUGCGCCUCUGCGGUGGUUUUUUUUCCUCUCUCUCUCUCUCGUUUCCACCCUCUGUAAACCGGACCGGUUUGAUAUUUGCCAUGAAAAUCGUUCCGCUUGUCGGCAAACAGUGUGCCACUCCGUCGCGCGAUUCGCGUGAAAAUAUAUUCUGGUCGAUCGGUGUUUCCCGAAAUCGUGAGCCGAUAAAGAGCAAUAGCGGGACGAAACGGUUGAGGGGAUGGAGGGAAAACAAAGAGAGGAUGGGCAAAGGAGGGGCGAAAAAAGAGAGAGAGAGAGGGAGGAAAAAAAGAGGGAAAAAUAUGCGACACGAUUUUUUAGAGGCUGUAAAAAACACGUGUUUGCACGGGGAGCCGCGGCUCGGGCCCCGAUCAGAUGGCUACACAGGGCUGAUUUGCAUGCGACCUUUGCCUCCAGGUGUUCCUGAAUUUGCAUACGAAAGGGUGGCGCUCGCAGAUUUCUCCCUCCUCCUGGUCCCCUUCUUUCUCUCUCUCUCUCUAUGUUUCCGCGUCUCUGUAUCCCUUUCUGUCUCGUUUCCCUUCUGUCUUCCGCUUUCGUUCAUUCUGGCCUCUGUUCAACCCCCGGUGUACGCAUUUAUGGGUUACUGGCUCAGCGUGUCGCGUCGUUAACUCGCCGUUAAAUUUUCGUUAACGUCGCUCUUUAAUCGGGCAAAGUUCGCCCGAUUGAAUGAAAGUUAUGGUAGAUAGGAUAGGAUCUGAUCGCGAUUCAAUCGAUCCUCGUCCACGGAAAGAGUAAUUUAUUCGUCGAUUAUUAGAUUGUGAGAGGUAUUGAAGCGAAGGAGAAGAAGCAGAAGAAUUGCUCGGCUAUCCGUACAUUGUUUUAAAUUUAGAAACACUCGGUUGAAAUCUAUUACGUACGAAUAAUGUUUGUUUAAAAUCUUCAGACUACAAUGUUUACAAUAUGUUUCUCGUUAACGUUUUAAUCUGUUGUUACUUAUAGGAUCGUUUCUAACAAUUCCGGAACGGAAUUAUUCAUUUAUUGAAAAUUCAUGGACGUUUCAUCAAUCCGUUCGAAGAAUACGAUAAUUCUAUCGAAUUCUAUUAAAUAUAUCACGAAAACAAUAAUUCGUGUGAAAAAGUUUUCUUUCCUCGCGAUUUAUUUCAAUAUUGCAUCCAUACAAUAUUAUCUCUGUAAAAAAAGAAAAGAAAAUUACUACGUUUGAUCUUCCGGCAGGCGUUGUUUCGGAAAAUAAACGAAUUCCAUUGUUCUCCGUCAAUUUUCGAUUCACACAGCAACAAGAAAGCUCAACAAUAUUCACGAGAACGUACACGAGGCUGGUUAUUCCCGUUCGAGGCUCUAAUCUGCUCGAAAAUGAUCGAAUUGGAUGAUGGAGGGGGGAAAAAAUUUCUUUGCAAGCACACUUUGCGAAGGAAAACACGGGGGCGGCGAAUUCCGCGAAACGAUUCGCGAGCGGAACGACGAUCGAACGAAUGAAAGGCCCGAUUAUAAAUUCAAUCACGCGCGCACGUAGCGGGCCAGGAACUGGGCAAACUGAAAAGAGUCCCGUGCAAUUAUUUCUGAUUACGGACCUGUAUCGAGCAUGAUCGAGGCCGACGCGAGUAAUCGCUCGCGUGGCACGUAACGAGCGUUUCCACGCGAGCCAUUGAUUUAUUUAUCGCGGGACGUGAGCCCGGCACGCUGUUUAUCGCCGCGAGAUUAUCCAUCUGACGUCGCGACGGGGACGGUUUCUGGCUAAUCUGAAUAUUUCGCGACGAACGUCGCUGUUUUGCUCCAACGACAAACGUUUAAGAGGAAAAGAAGUUGGCUUUGAGGAAUUUUAAUUAGCGAACACGUGGAGUGAACCGUGAUAAAUAUGUUGACGGAUCGUAUUGUGGUACUGUGUGCGCGAGUGGCAAAUUCCACCGAGUUUGGUUAAUUGAUUCCGAUGUGAAAUUUUUACAUUCCUUAUUUUGACUUUAUUUACCGAUGCAUACGUUCUUCGAAUCUCUUGGAGAUAUGUAAUUCGAUCGAUUCAACGAUCCGUGUGUAUCGAUAAAGAACGUAUUUAGAAUGAAAUAGGUCGUGUAAAAUUCUUGGCGCGAAAGUUGUAUUUGUCUUUCUUACGAAUUGUAUUAUAUUUCAACUAAUUAUACCGAAUGGAAUUCGAGUGUGUGACGUGAUAGCCGUAAUGGCAGAGGCGACGUUGAUUUACUUGUUUACCAUCUGCUUAUUUCUUCAUCGAAGCAUACGUUUCUCGGAAUAUCGGAUUGCAAUUUUUCCUGUCGCAAAUCCGAUUGCACGAUGUCACAAAUAAUGACAGUGUUGUCACGAGACGGCUGGUUAAUUUUUCUUCGAGAGAUUAUCGUUUUCUUUUCAACCGACAAUGAGAGCUAUUCCCGUGCAUGCGCACAUUGAGCUCUGAUCGUCUUCACUUUUUCCCUUUUUUUUUUUUCAUUUACAUAUAUAACGCAAUUGUUCGAUGCAACAAGAAAAAAUUACGAAAAACGAACAACGAAAGGAAUAUAAAAAUUAAUUUUUUAAUCGAAAAUUCAUCAUGUUCGAGUCUCAAAAUAGAAUUUAUUACAAAGCAAAGUAAUGAAAAAAAAAAAAAUCUUAUUCUCAACGUUAAGCCUGAUUUAACGUUGAGUUCCACUACUGGUCGCUUUUAUUAUUUAUGAAAUUUGUUGCGGCUAUUUCUACUUGUCGCGAUAUUACGGUGCCUGAUCACAUAAAGGAGGUAUCUACUGGCUCGAGAAUAUUGCCACAUCGAUAACAACAACGUUGUUAUUCUUCCAGUAUCGUGUGUGCGAUAUAGAAAUAAAAGAGUCUUCUUGGCUUCAUCCGAUUUAUGAUAUCCCUUGCAUGAUUAUUAUAUUUUACGAGUAUGUUUCAUCAUUCCUUCUCCAAUCCAACGAGAUCAAAGAUCGAAACAAGAACUCUAAAUCAAAGGUCUCAACGCAGGAUACUCUUAUAUCAACUCUCCCGAUAAUCCAUCAUCGGCUAAAGAAACAUGUUCCUCCGCGAAACAAGAUCGCCUUGAAACAUGCAGAUGCAAACUGCACUAUUUCUUUUUUUCUUUUUUCUUUUUUUCCAAUCUCGAUAUUCUCUUCCAUUUUUCCAUUAUCAUUCUCUAAGAUCACACUUAUCAAUUUAAACGAAACAUCGGUACUCGUUACCUUUUUCGAAAUACUAUCACCCCUUUCUUUCGCGCCCUCUUCGAAAGUUUCGUACUCGUGAAAACAUAUUCCUUUUCUACUGUCGACGUAAAAAUUUUAACGCGUAACAAUUCAAAUUUCAACAAGAAUCAAGAAUUCUUUCUAAAAUUAUCUUCUUACAAAAAUACUGAUUAAAGACUUGACAAGAAUCCUCCCCAGCCAUUAAAAUUCUCGAUCCUUGCAAUUAUUUCUCGACGAAGCAACUCCUCGAUCCUCCGGAUUUUCGAUUUUUCAUUUGCUCCGCAUUCCUCCCACCCACUCCCCUCUUCCGUUUCCCAACUAAUCACUUAAUCUGGCCCGGAACCUCCCCCGGUAUCAUUGCGCGUACGCGCGCGUAUGAUGGCGUGCGUGUGUCUGCGUGUGUUCCGCGAUGAUGAAGGAGAGGGCCGGCCGGCAGCCAUCUUGGCUGACGUCAGCUCAUGCCGAGCACGCAACCGCGAAACGCCGACUUCCUCGUUGCGAUAGCCGCCUUACUUUUUUAUUACUCCCUCUCAUUCCCUCCGCCCGACCCUCCCCGCUGUUGUUCAGCCGCUUCUUUCGCGUCCCCUCCGCUACACAUACGCUUCUCGCUUCACGCUCGGCUCGAUCGUGCGCGAUCCCAUACGUGCAUACGUGCACGUACGCGUGUGAUACACGCGUUUAGCCCGCGAAACGAAGCGAGACACCCCUCCCGCUAUAUCUAAAAUGGCGGAAUUUAAUGGACAAACGCUCGGCCGCUAUUCGCCGCUCGCUAUGAAAAUUAAGGUAGGCGGUGGCGGUGAUUCUUAUCGGUGUGCAUUCAGUUUCCACGGCGAAGAGAACGUUUCACGACAGCGUUUCUCUCUCCCGAGUUGAGAGAGGAAGGUAUUGACGCGUGGAUGGCCGCGACGACGCUGUGGAGGGAACGAUUUUUUCGUUGGGUGGUUAAACGCUUCGGUUUUGGCGCGGAUCUUUCCUCCAGCAGUUCGUUAUUUGUAUGUAUUGGGUUAGGGAUGGGGAGGAGUCAAGAGCAAAGAGUCUUUUAGGGUUUUUAUUCGAAUCUUCUUUGAGCAGUAUUUGAAAUAGGCGAAUUUCUCUGAAUUGAGGAAUUGAGGAGAAAAAUAAUUUAUCGUGUGUAUUGCAGUUUAGGCUCGAAAUAGAAUUUUUAAAUUUCGAAAUGUUGAAUUUUCACGAUUUAUUUAUAAUAAAUAAAUGCUAAUUCAAUAAUCAAAAUUGAAAGAUAAAUGUUGAGACGAUUAGACGUCAGGGAUCGGAGAAGUGCGAUCAGCUUCUACUGAAGUUCUGAGAUGUCUGACCAGGAACGUCUAAAUCUCUUGCACGCUCUACUGAAUAAACACUGGCUUCGGUUUACCAUAAACUUCAGUAAUAAUUAUAAUUUUAUUAAUUCAGCGUACAUCAUUUCUUCAUUCCUUCAAUCGAUAUUUCAAUAUCGCUUAGCAAUAUCGCUUGAAAAAUAUUCUGCUCUAUUCGUAAUAAUAAUAAGUUUUCAUGAAUGCGCGUCGUUGGAAUUUACGAUUAUCUAAAAAUGACUCUGAUUCGUCGUAGAAUUGCGAUAUCACGAAAGAACGUGCAGUUUUUUUCGUAGAUAAUAUUCUCGUUUUUCUUUCUUUACUUUUUUUCUUUUUAAACUUGUAAUAAAAUAAAUAUGACGAAUUGUCGAUAAAUAUUCUAUUCCAUGUUGAAAUUUCGUAAUUUCGUUAGUUUGUCUGUUCGAGAAUUGCAAGCUAGAUAUGUUUACGAUUCGUCGGGCAGUUUGUUUGUUACUUCGUACCAACUAAGAAAUGAUCCAGGUAUAUAGAACAAAAAGCACGGUAGAAUCUACAAAUUGUCUUACUGUAGACACGUUCUUCAAGCGUGUACUACAAACAUGGAGUUCUUUCGAUAGAUUUCGUUAAAAUUUAAUUGCUAUCGAUUAAAUUUGAAAAAGGUAGAUUUCACAUUUCUUAAAUUUUGUUAUAUACGAUUUUCAUUCUUUUAAACGAGCAAAAGAAAUAAAUAACUUUUCGAAAGAUACAUUUUUUAAACAAAUGAACGAAUAUUCUUUCAAUCGUCGUCGUAUUUCACUCUUACAUUUCCGCAAAUUAUUCGCUCUUAAAAAAACGAGAAAAUGAGAAUCCAUUACCCUCGGAUAAAAACAUUAAAACUAACAAUUCUUAACAAUCUUAACCUAUAUCAUCUUCUCAUUAUCAAGAUAUCGAAUCUCAUUUUAUCAUUAAUCGUCCCCCCGGAUAGGAAAUUAAAAAAAAAAAAAAGAAUCUUUAUAGAUUCAAUGAACUUUGUAUCGUUCGACGAUCCUUCGAUUCGUAUCGCGAAGAACCAGUUUUCAGAAGAAGAAGAAGAAGAAGAAGAAGCAAGGGUGAGAGAGGGUGCAAAGAGAAAAGAGAGAAUGCAAAAGAAGGAGCGCGCGCUCUCGUUGGAUCCGAUAAAAAUUUACCUUUUUUUUCUCUUUUUCUCUCUUUCUUUUUUUUUUUUUUCUUUUUUUCCCUCCUCUUUGCGAAACCAUUACGAUUUAUUGCGGCGCCUACUGCUCGUCACCGAUCGAAAACCUGCUCCGGCAAAAAGCGGAUGAAAAACGAGAUCGAUAGCCGGCCACAUCUCGCUAAUCCGAACCGAGCUCGUGUUUCGUUUUCUUUUUUUCUUUCCUUUUUUUCCUCUUUUUUCUUUCUUUCUUUUUUUUUUUUUUCGUACGUACCUGCGAGCGGAUGGUUAACGCGCGAAAUCGAACGAGUAAACUGUUCUGAAACUGUUGCUGCGCCCGCGUCCAGGUGAAUAUUAAUUUUUUUUAUCGUCGAACCACCACGAUCGAAUACACCGAUUACGGGAGCAGUGAAUCGAUGUUGAACCAACAGAAACUGUAUUUUUUCGCGGUUUCUCGGUUUUCGAACAUCUGGUCGAUCGACUUCGAAAGGUUGAAACGGUUCACGACACCUGAUAAUUAAGAUUAUCGAUGUCUGUUUUUUUUUUUUUUUUUUUUAGAUAAUGAUAUUAGGUUAUUGAGAGGAGGAAAGUGUUGUUUCCAAGUGAAUGAAAAUUUUUAAUUUAUUUCGAUUUAAAUCGAUCAUUGGAUAAUUCGAUGUAUCGAAUAUUCGGAGAAAAUUAUAUUUAUAAUUUAUCUUUGUCCAAUUUCGAUUUGGAUAAUUUAUGAUCGUGUUCUGUCAAAUUUUUCAAAGAUAUAAUUAAUUUGAAUUUCAAAUGAUAAUCAAAGUAAUCAAAUCUUUACGCGUUUUAUUCAAAAUUUUAUCGUAAAAUGACGAGUUAUAAAAAGAGAAAAGAAAGAGCUUAUUUAGCUUAGAACUUAAGCUCAGAACCUUCCACGAGGGAAACAAACGAUUUGCACGUUCAAAUUAUCGUUCUGUCAUACCCUAUCGAAGGGAUUACGGGUGCUGACUGUUACUUGUAUACUUUAUUGCCUACUGUGCUGCCGCGCUACCACUAUAAUAUGCUAAUAGAGGGAUGCCAGGCCCCCUUCGUAACGACCUGGAUCCUGUUACGGGAACCCAUCCCAUAUGUACCCCUCGUGUUCGCGAAGAUUUCAGGAAGAUUCGUAUCAAAAGUGUUUAGUGCGCUCGUCUAUCGAGAAACAUCGAUUAGAAACAUCGAACCAAGUCGGGAAUAUGUAAAUUGGCGAGCCAAAAUCCAACCCGAAGAAUCUCGUAAUAUCCUCGUUCUUUCUGUUUAACGCUUCAUUUUUUCCUUUUUUUUUUUCUAGAGUUUCACAUAAAAAUUAAACUCCUCAAUUUUUGAAAUAGAAGAAUGAUUUAAAGAUAAGAUAAUCCAAUCAACUUAAAACUCAAAAACAAAAUUGUUAAAUUAUCGAAUAACGAAAGAGAUGUCCUUCUUUUUUCCACCACACGAAGUGAAAAUAAAAAAUUCUCCCCCGAUGCGAAAAGAAUAAAACUGCCUAAAGAUAAAAGAAAAAGAGAGAAAAAGAAUUCGCACUGUAUCGCCUGUACUCGCUCGUAACUCUAUCAAAAUCGAGGACUCCCCAUCGGCGAUCGACCGUAUCGGAAACAAGAGGAAACAAAGGAGGUAGCCUCGUUGUUCCGGAAAAUUCCAGUCCAAUUUUCUUCUCUGGAAAACAAAACCUUAAUAUCACUCCAAAAAAAAAAAACAGAGAAAACACGAACGGGAGGAGGAAAAAAGAGAGAGAUAGAGAGAGGGUGGAAAAAACAGGGUGGAUAAAAUCAAAAGCAGCGUUCCGCUGUUUGCACGCAUCCAGGUUAAACGAGGAUCAGUCUCGCGCACGAUCAUCCAAGCAGGACGAUUGACCGAGGGUUGGGCUUGGUUACGGGCGUGGUGCACACGAUAAAAAUGGCGCUACGAGGCGGCGAGGGUGGCCUCUUUUAUUCUCGCAUAAAUGCCGCGUGUGCGAUGCACCCCCCCAACAGACCGCCCCGGUUUACUCUCCCGAAAAACACCGUUCACCUCACUCCCCCCUCCCCCACUUCUUCUCCUGUGCCAUUCUUCCUCGUGUAUCGCGGACUCACCCUCACCCCUCGAUGCCGCUACCCUUUUUCGUGAUUGGGAGGCACGAAUUUCCCGGUUUAACCCCCGGCCCCGGGGUUAUUAUGCGACAGAGCCGGGAUAGAUGGAUGGCACGAGAAUGGUUUCAGGAUUGUCAGAGGGCACGUCGACGACAGAUCGAAAGAUUUUCGAGGGUUUCGUGGUUCCUGGCGUGACACUCACGAAGGACUUUGGAUUGUUAUGGAUGUGUAAUGACUUUGGACGAAUGAAUGAGAUUGAUUUUGAUUCAUUUCGAUGUAUAGUCUUCGGUUUCCGAGAUAAUUAAUUUUAGUUGAUGGGAGGAGGGAUUAUUUGGGAACAGUGAUACUUUCGCGAAUUCGGAUUGGAUUGAAUGCAGUAAACAAAAGACGAAUAAUUCUUUCCGUAGCAAUAAUUCCUAAUUUUUUAAUUAUUUAUGCUGCUUAUAUAUUGUUUAAUUUUUAAUUUUUCGUCAAUGUUAUCCUGCAAUUAGCUGUAUCGUUUGUAAACUCAAAAUAAUAUCAAACGAAAGGAAAUAUCGGUGGAUCAAUCGUGGAUAGAAAUUCAUCUCGAUGGGAUCCCUUAUUUCAUCCCGAAGUACUUGGCAACGGGGGUUGCUCGUUGGUAAGGACUCGUAAAGAGAUUGACAGACGCUUCGUGCAAGAUUUUACGUUAAACGUGACGUCUUUCCACGGUGCGAAUGGCAGCGAUCGUUUGAAAUAUUCAGAAUGUUACGAGAGCCGACGUUUGUACGUAUACGCGAAUGGAUAAAGGGAGAGAAGAUUCGGAGAACAUUUGCUUAAUUAUAACGUAUAUGAAUAGAUGAUAACGAGGCGGAUAAUCGCGAAGAGGUUGAUCUCAAGCAAGAAAGGAUACACGAAUUAUAAUACCACGAGAUAUGAUAAUUUAGAAUUUAGCGAUUUUAAAAUUCUACAAUAAAAUGUAUAUUGUUAUCUACAUUUUUUUUUCCUCUGAUAAGAAAAUUUUCUUAUCGUCAUUCCGACAAAAAACUACAUCUACUUUCGACUAAUUUACAGAACAGUAAUUACUCCAAAUAAAAUAAUCAUUUAUCCGAUUAUUAUUAAUUAAUUUAAGCCGAUUUCAAAGAAUUUCUUUUAUCGUUGCUUAUACGCUAAUUAUUUCUAUCGUUGCUGCCGACGUUAAACUUGUGAAUUUUUUCGUUGACGCUAAUCUUCAGAAUCGUCGAUUGGAUAAGUAACGAUCUCUAUCGAAGAGAGUCGUGCCACUGACGCGGUUUAAUCUCGCUUUUCAAAGGCCACUCUUGAGGCUGUCAUAACAACAAGCCGAAUAGGGGAUGCGUAGGAAGGUGCAAUCAAUAAUUAAAUAAACGACGAAGGUCGCUUCGAAGCCCGACGAUUGUUGGCGUGAUGGGCCUAAUGGGCGAGCGUUAUGGGGUUUCGACGCCAGAGGGACCGGAAAUUAUUUGUUUCUUCUUCGUCUCUGACGAAACUACCCGUCAUUGUCCCUCCCUUUCGCGACACUCUUGACUUUAUGUACAAGAUUCUUCGAUCAUUCGUUACUUUCUAGAAGAUACAUUAACGAUCGAGAUUUGUUUGAGAAAAAUUUCCAAUGUAAAUAAAUUUUUAAUUGAAAUUGAAGGAAUUUCGUAAGAUUAAAUCUGAGAGAUUCGAAGUUUGAUAUAUAUAUGUGUGUGUGCGACACGUGUCUAUUUUCCAUUGGUCUCUCAAUUAUAAUAUCUACAGAAUAAAACUGUCGGAAUAAGUCUGCAAUAGAUCAAUUUUUUAAAAAAAAUUAUUGGAAAUUGCUUAUUUUAUCCGUAAAUUUUUCUCUUCUAUUUUUCUAUUUUAUUAACUGGAAUAUUUUUUAAAAAUAUUCACUCAUCGAAUCUUUCCAAAAGCACCAAGAAACAAACUUUUCUCUUCGUGGAAAAAUAUUCCAUUAUCCUUACAUCUCUGGAAAAAAAAAAUCCCCCCGAAAAACAGUGUCAUUCGCAACUCUCAUCCCUCUGGACGGAUUACAAUUCCGCUCAUUGCCUCGCAACGCGCCAUUCAUCGGCGCGAGACACCUCGUGCGGUCAAUUCACGGGAAAAAAACGAGUGCCGAGAUGAAAAAAAAAGAGGAGGGGAUGGGGAGAAAAAAAAAUCGGGGUUAGGCAGUCGAUGGGCGGGCGUGUAAAGCGCCCUCUAACAAUUCCAUUUCCGCACGCGAUAAACCGUACGAUCGCGGCCAACGCAGUAAACCGAUCGAACCGGAUGUUCCAGCUUGGCGAUCCCGCAUUGAAAUUUUUACGCGUGUCCUCGAAACCGAUCUCCCUUUCUACCUGCCCGCGUUUUUCGAUUAUCCUGCUGCAUUUUUCUGAAUCAUUUCAUUUUCAUAACCGAUCGAUGACCUCCUCCAUUCCAAAGAAUCAUCUAUGAUCGUGCGAAAUUUUCGGUACGAAAUCGAUGUUGCAUUUUCUAUAUACAUCAUCCCUUUGAUAAGAUUAACGAACCACGUUUGAAGAUCUUUCGAUUAAAUCUCCAAUUGAUAUUAAAAAAAAAAUCGUUAACAAUACGUUAAAUAAGGAAUACUCGCGUAACCAAUUCCAGCUUAAAUAUUCAUAACAGAAAUAUAUGUAUGUGUCGUCGACGAACAGGCGUACCAACACCGAUAGACAGAUAAAUAGAUAGAUAGAGAGAGAGAGAGAGGUGAUAGCGGAAGAAAGGAGAUAGGCGCGGGCACGAUGUGUAGCGGAGCAUUCGGGGAAGGGUGGGAUGAGGAUGCAAUUGCAUCGGCCACACCGUCACGUAGCCACGUUUACGUGGAUGCCGGUAGACACGUAUAAUGGCAGUGCGCGCAUCGUCGAUAGUUAUUGCUUUGUUAUUGGGCCGCCUGACGCGCGCCCGGCCGGCACCCAAUGUUGGAUUUCCCUUUAUUGGAAAUUUCCCGCGCCCCACUUCUCCCGAUUUCCCGCCCGCAAAUAUAACGGGCGAGCCGUCACGCGUGCGAUUUCACCCCUUCCGCCCUCGAUUCGCCCUCUCUCGCCUCGCUUUCCUUUUUCUCGAAUCCAAUCCUGUCGAUUCGACCGAUGCCCGACGUCCUUUUGAUUUCGUUCGAAAGGGGAGGAAGGCAGGGAGACGGGGGUGGUGGUGGUUUCGUGGUGCAUAGGCGCGAAUUGGAAUGAAGUUAGAUUGGUCGUCCGGCAAGUUAUUUUUUUCGAUAUUUUCGGAUGAUGGAUUCGGAUGGUGGAUGUCUUUGACGAGUUUCCCCGUGAGUUUCUUCUUUUUUCUUUUCUUUUUUGCCUAAUUUGUUGUUUGAAAUUGGACGGAUCUUUUUUCUUUUUUUGGAUUUAUUAUGAGAUGUAUAAGGAAUUAUUUUGUUUCAAAGUUUUCAGGUUUUAGAAAUAGUUUUGAAUAUAUAUAUAUAUAUAUUAUAUUUUUAACACGGAUAAUAAGAUUAAUUUAUUAUAAUAUGAUUAAUCUUAAUUGGAUGAAUAAAAUAAUAAGUAUAUUCCCCGAAGAUACUCGAAAAUUAGUUAGUAAUUGACAUAUUAACAUGCUGACGUAAGUGUUAUUUAUAGUUUAAAGAGAAAGGUCAGGGAGGUUUUCUUUUAUCUAUUUCAAUUAAUAAUAAUAAUAAUGACGUGAACCGUAAACGUCCAUUUCUUCAUUUUUAUAAUUAAAAUUGAUCCAGAUAAGAAAGAAAACUGGAACAAUAAAAUUUAAAUUUAAUUAACGUAACAAUACUAUAAACAUUAAUGAUAUAAUUUGUUAAAGUAAACAAAAUCAUUAUCAUUAUAGUCCCUAAUUCACUUAAAUUCACGGAGAAUUAAUUUCAAUUCUCUAAAUCGAGUUGAUCAUCGAGCUUCUCGAGUAAAUAAUUCUCAAUUCAAAUUUUUCAAAUCGUACCAUAUCUUAUUCCAUCGAAAAUCAAUCCGGAUCGAAAACGACUGAACGUUGAUUUCCUCCAUUUUUGGAGGAGAAUCUUUCGACCGAUCCAAUCACCGAUGCAACGAAGGAGAGGGUGGGGUUGCACGUGGCUUAAUUGAUUCGAUUUCGAGGGGUUUUCAUCCCACUUUUCGCUUCGUACGACCCUGCAUCCCUGUAUCAACGCGCCCUUUCCUCCCUCCAUCACGUAGGUUUCCCCUACGGUUUUCGAAAAGGUCGAAGGAUCGAAGGGUUCGAGGUUUAACGGAUCACAGGUCUCCAUCUUGCCGAUUCUUUCGACGUUUUCUUUUUUUCUUUUCUUUUUUGUUUUUUUCUUUUGCGUCGAAGAUGCAACUCGAAGGAUUCGAUGUCGUCAUACGAGACACUGUCAUCCGAUAACGAUAAUCGAGUCGCGUUUACGGACGCGGAUAUCGUUUCAUCGUUACGUCAUUUACGUUCGAUCAUGCCUUGUGGCCUCUGGUUCCGGAUAACCUCUCUUCGCGAGGAGAAUUAAGAAAUUGCAACACGAUCGUGCUUGUUUAUUCACCCAAAAUAUUUUUAUAUUUGAUGAUCUCUCUUCUUCUCUCCCCCUCUCCCCUCCCCUUUUUUCAAUACGAUUGUACGAUAAUGAGUCUCGCGUUAUCCGUUUCUGGUUUGUCGAUAAUGCGCGUGUCUAUUUUUAACGCGCGCGCCAUGUUUCUUCUUUAUCUUCUGGCCGCGUGCGUGUGAGUGUAAAGAAUUCUUAGAAUUAAAGCAUUGAUACGAAUAAUUGACCCUUGUGCUAUUUGUUCUCGAUUCGCAUAAAAAUUGUAAAGUAUUAUUACACAAUAUACAUAAGAACAUAGAAGACAGAAUUAUAAUUGUAAAAUAGUCUGAAUUUAUUUAUUUUGGAGAAGUAAUUUUUUUUUUUUCCUUCUUUUCAAAAAUCAAGAAUUUUUUAAUAUUCAUUCGCGCGUUAACGCGCUCGAAACUCUCGAUCGAAUCGUGUUCAUUUAAAUGCACGAACACGGGAAACGUUAUCGCGCGAUUUCAAAAAAAGAAAAAAAAGAGAAAAGAAAAAAGAAAGAAAGAGGGGAAAAAAAAUCAAAGUUUCCUGCAGCGUUUUCAAGAAAUAAAGGAAACCACGUAGCGGAAGAAGCUCAUUAGGUCUUCUUCGUGGUAUCUUCUCUCGUGUAUAUUCUUUAUUAAAUGUUUCUCGUUAGUGGUUCAUAGUGGUAAUCCUUCGAAAGUGUGACUCACGGGCGGAAGUAUGAUUCAUGGAUCCGUCUGGUUGCAAAAUCGGCGCGAAAGCGAUUUUUCUUCCGGCGGCCGACCAGGCAAAAUUAUAUCUCGGCGUGAAAAUAUAUUCGCGUGACAUCAUCGCGCAUUUGUAAUUUCAUUCGCCUCCCCCCCUCCCCUUUCUGAUUCCGGGCCUCGUUCACGUUGAAUGAAAACCGCGACGGCGCAACAACCGCAGCCGCGAAAUUUUGCCAGAGGACUGCGUUGCGCAACGAAGCCCAAGUUGCACAACCGAAAUUCGCGAAAUGAAACAUCCAUUUCCCAACGGGCCGAUAUCGAAGCCGCGGUUUAAACUUGCCAUUCCUCGCGACUCCUCGUUGCAACAGAGUCUUCCGUAACCGAUUUUACGAUGCAAAUCAUUUCUAUUUAUAAGCGGGGAAAAUUGGAUAAGCUCGCGCCCCAUUUUGUGCGAUAUUAUUUGUAUUCUGUAUCUCUGCAACAAUUUGCGGUAACAUUGUAAAUUGGCUCUUCUCGCGAGGGAUUGGAUUGUUUUUAAUAUAUCUUUUUGAUAGUUACUAUUUGUUUUCGCGAGAUUAAAUUCUCGAAUUCUUUCGUAGAAUUAUUUUAUUCGUUCGUUUCUGAAUAAUUUUUCAAAUCAAAUUAGGUAAGAAUAGCUGAUGAAAAUAUUUAAUUAAUUGUAAGUAAUUUCUUCUCUCGAAGAAGGAAGAAUCGAGGCAAUAAUGGGCAAAAGUAUAAGUCAUAGAUCGUUCGUUUCGCAAAGAACUGGAGAAACUACUCCUUGAAUUUUUGAGUAAUAAUUAAGUAACGAGAAAGAGCGUAAUUAAUUGGAAAUCGUUAUUUUUUUUUUUAAGAAUUAUUCAAUAGAAUGAUUUUUAAGCAAUGGUUAGAAGAAAUUAAUCUACAGAUAUUACAAUUUUAAUUAGAUCGAUUAUUAGUGGAGUAACAAAUUACUUGUUUGUUUAGAAAUAUGACACGAAUCUUAUUCGAAAUCAGAAAAUCCAAUUCUAAAAUCCAAUUUACACGUUCCGCUAUUAAAACAUUCACAUUGAAUCCUCUCGGCCAAUUUUUCAUCCCUUCCAACACCUCGUACCCGCCAAAUCUUCCAAUAUUCCCGACAAAUUCCCUUGUAACUCUUUAUACAAGGAGCAGGAACAAAGGAGAGAAAGGUAAGAUCCACUCUUAAGAACCAUCCUUCCAAUCCAGCAAAAAAAAAAAAAAAAAGAAGAAAAAGUGGGAAAGGAAAGAGAGAAAAGAACAGGCCACGAACGGUGUUGCAGGCAGAGAGUUGAAGGAGUAAUUUUCAAUAUCCACCUUAUUAGCCCGGAAUAAUAUCUCGUCCCAAGAGUUUCCCUCCCCCGGAUUACACGCUCGCUCGUUUCCAUCGGCAGAGCGUUGGCCGCCUCUAAUACAGGGCUGCCACUCGAAACGAAAUCUUAUCCAUAUUUCGUAUACUGGGGAGGGGAGGGGAGUGGUGGACGAGUCGCGGGGGGAUCUCUGCGAGGGUGUGGAGGAAUCCGCGCCGAGGGUUUCCUCCCUUCGAACGAUGCCUCUUUACGACCACGUAGGCGUUUUUACGCGCCCGUCCUCGAACUCGUCCCAGUAUUAAAAUUCUGUUUUACUGUCGACGUGGACAUUGCCAUUGUGCGCACGCUCGUCACAUAAAAAUUUGAUCAUUUCAUGAAACGGAAUAACUAUUUAUAAAAAAAGGGUUUCUUCGAAAGGAUUAGAUUUACUACGAGGAUAUAAAUAAUACAAAUUUAAUCAAAGAUAUAUAUAUAUAUGUACAUUGAUUAUACUCUGGUCGAAGAUCGAUGAAAGAUUCGUGUAAUAGAAUACAAAGUUUCGCAAUUUCUCGAGGAAGAGGAAGGUGGAAGCUCGGACCACUCGUCAUCCUGUCCUCGUCGAAGAGUUUUCCUCGACAAGUUUGAUUGCCGCGAAGCGUCGGCGGAUGUCAGCGUUUGGUUCGUAAGAGAUGAACGAGCCACGGUUGAAAAGCGAUUCGAACAAGGGGCGUUUCGUGCAUCCCGUGUACAUCUCGUUCUAGCUUCGCUCUUCCAUCGUCCCUCCUUCUUUCCGCUCUUUGCAAGAGUGGGAGACUCGAGGGGGUCGUUCGUUUUGAUAGGGCGCUCACCGCUCGAGUGGCCUUGGCAAUAAAUUGCGAAUCAUUUCUUUUUUCUUUUCUCUUUUUUUCCAAGGUCGCUGACUUGGGGAACGGUGAACGUGCACGGAAUACAUACUUCCAACAAUUUCCUCCUUUCCCCCGUUCGUAAAAACAAUCCUAGAUUAAUUUUCAACAAGAUUCAAUUUUAGAUUUUUUAGACAAUUUUAGAAUUUCUCCAUUUCCAAAAUACGUAUAUCCAUAAUUCAACGAAGCGACGAAACCUUGGCAAAACUUCGAAUUUCACGAGGAGGAGGAGGACGAGGGGGGCGAAUCGGACACGAAGUUGGACCGAUUCGAGGGUCGACGAUCGGAAACAUUCGCCCAGCUACCAUUCCACGGAUCGGUCCGUCCCAUUUCGCGAUUGCCCACGGUCCCUCUCCUCUUAUCCGACGUUUCCUCGUCGGUAGGGCGCGAUGCCUCUCGUAACACGGAGCAAUUUCGUUGGGGGAGGGGGAGGGGGCCGAGCGAGCACCUUGCUAUUCACCUUGAAACCGGUCCGGCUCCUCCGUCCGGAGGCCGGAUCCCCGCCCGAUCGGAUCGAAUCUUCGUGUCCGAUCUCUCGUUCACCCGCAAACGAGCCCCCUCCCCCCUCCCCCUCCCCCUAUACGCCGGGGCGCGGGGAUGCGAGAAUGAUUCGCGAGUACCCGUGUUUACUUGCCGAGUCAUCUUCUAAAUUGUAGCGUGUUACGGGGCCGUGUGUCGGAUCUCGGAUCGAUAUUGCGAUAAAAAGACGGGGGAAAACAUUAUUGGCCGGCGGGCAGAGAGAGGCGAGUUCAAGUAGCCGUGAGCGGACCCGAUAUCUCCUAUUCUUCCCCCUUCGUUCGCUCCUUUUCAUUCGCUGCGCCGCGCGGAAAUAUCACGAGAGAGAUACCAAUACACGAUACCUGUGCGUAAUUGGAUCGGUAAAUUGGAUUCUAAUUAACCGUGACUCUGAUCGAUAUUAAGGAGGGAGGGGAUGUUCCCUUCGAGACGGAGAAAUUUUGAAAUCGGUUUAGAUCCGUUUUGGUAUUGAAAUUUGAAAGAUAUUUGAAAAAGUGAAGUGGUAAAUUAUAAUAAGUAAUUGAAUUGUUUCUUUUUUUUUUUUCAUGUAGAUAAAUAUGGUAGUUGAUAGACAUGUGGAGAAUUUUAAAUUUGUUAGACGAUAUAUUUUUUAAAAGAUUUCUAAUUAAUCAUUUUCCUUCGAGACGAAGAAAUUGUACAGUUGAUUCGAUAUUUCAAGUAUAUGGUUUUUCUUAAUAUCUAUUUCGAAACAGAGUUUACAUAUUCUCUCUCAAAGAAGCCAAAAAUUAAUUCUUGAAUAGGAAUUUGCAAACUGCAGAUUACAACAUAUCAAAAUAAUAAAUCAAAAUCGCGUUAUUUUUUCUCAAAGUAUCUUUAUCGUUUUUAAAAUUCAAUAACAGCUCAAAUUGGACAUCUUACCGCUUGAUCUUAUUCGUGAUAUUAUCGCGAUAAAACGCGAUUCUCAAACGUGCAUCACAGUUCCGUUCCAUUCGAUCGAAAAGUUUGGUUUCAAGCAGAAGAGGAGAAACGGCGAAGAGGGCCCUCUCUCGUCCGCAAGAGAGGGAGAGAUCGGCCGGUCGCGAUACAUAAUGCCGCUGGCAUGACAAGGCGAGAGCAAUUAGAUGUCGCCGGAUGCAGCUGCAGGCGAUUGCGUCAUCAGAGUUACUUUGCAACCUUGAUCUCUCCGGAGGGGUCUCCGUUUCCCUGUCCCCUCCCCACCACCAAGCCUUCCUCUGCCGGUCCCAACCGCCUCCUUCUUAUUCUUCCUGUUCUUCUUCAUCAUCAUCAUCUUCUUCUUCUUCUGCUUCUUCUUCUUCUUCUUUUUCGUUUUCUUUUUUUAUUAUUAUUACACUUACACUGCCCCCUUCGAUGACGUUUCUCGCGUUUUCUCGUUUUAGAUGCGGGACGGUUGAUAGAAGUAGGAAGAGAAUGAUGAUUGGUCGAUGGAAUUUAACGAUUAUAAGUUAAGUUGGUUUUUUUCUUUUUUCUUUUUUUUUAAGUUUGUUGCUUCUCCUCUCCGUGGUUACGAGUUGGAUCCCCGGGUGGGAGAUAAUUAAUGCGGAGGAAUAAUUAGUUGCCGUGUCCAGUAUCCAGUUUUAGAAUAUUUAGAAUAUAGGAUCCAGUAAUGAUAAAAAUUUUUCUCGUUGAAAUAAAUAUCUUCUUCCUCUUCCUUAUUUCAUUUUUGAUCUUCGUUACUUGUCUUUCGAACGAUGUUUUCCCUGUUUUAGUGCUUUUUUUUUAGUAAAGAAAAAGUUGGAUGAGAUGGAAAGAGAAAGAGGGUGAUGACUGGUUAAUAGAAUUUAAUGAUUUUUUUCUUCUUUUUUUCUUUUCUUUUUUUUCUUUUUUUUUCUCUCUCACGAUGAUUCUUGGUUGUGCGAGUUGGAUCUUCAAGUGAGAGGAACAAUAUAAUAUAUAUAUAUUUAAUUUACGCGUUUCGUGUAAUAUCUUUAUUCGAGUCUUCGUUUCACGAUAUAUUUUUACCAAUUUGUUUUCUUAGAAAUUCUUUGAGAUAAAGAAUAAUUAAACACAUCAAGAUUUUCCAAAUGUUUAACAUUUAUAUACCUUACAUUAUUACACGAAUGUUCGUACUUUUAUCACUUUCUUCUAAAGAUUUCGUCUUUCAAUGAGCAAUGAAACGAGAAAGAAAAAAAUAACCGAAACAAAGAGGAGGGGAGAGUCCAUCCAUUCUUUAUCAAGUGUGAAACGAAACAACGUGUUCGAGCACACGAAUCGUCAAAAUUCCAUCCCAAACAAUAGGUUGUUCAUUUUCUCGGGCACCUGCGCGUGUCUGUCGGAAACUUGGCGCGUAAAAUAGAAUUAACUCGUAAAUCUGGGGGUCCGGUGGCGUGACCCGGAAGCGGCCAUCCACUUCGUAUAAUUCAGACGCCUAUUACGCGAACGGCCGUUAAACAUCUCCCUAUCAUAACGUAUCUAACGCUCGAUACAGGAGAACAGGUGUGAUCCUCGCGAGAUAUCACCGACGCCUUUCGACCCCCACUCCUCUCGUUCUCGAUUUUCCAACCGAGUUGGAAACAAAGGCAAAAACGUGCGACCAAACGAACGAAUCGGCCCGCUUUUUGCCCGAUCCUCGGUGUGUGUCGUGAUUCUCCCGGCUGAAUCGUGGGACUCGUUAAACCGUUCCUUCGUUCAGGUUAAUUAUCCUUCCACACAGGGCCUCGUGUGUUUAUCCUUGGAGAUUUUCUUGCCCGCUCGAGGGAAAAAGAGGAACGCCCACUGGGAUGACUAGAUUAUCCUCGUCUCUAUCGGGAGGCACGAACUGUGUGUCGAUUUCUCUUGGACCCACUACUUCUUCUGUAAAACUCCAUACAAGAUUCAUUCGAUGUAUUCCAAUCAAAUUUUUAUCGUAACUUAAAAAUGUCUCCUCGUAUAUUUCUUUUCUCGCGUUAUUUCAUAAAAGAAAUUUAUAAUUCGAAUUCGAAAAGAUUACCCCUCGUGUUAAAUUUAAAAGAAUAAAUUAAGUUAGAUUAAGCCAAAACUGUAGAUGUAAAUGAUCGAAAUCGGGAUAGAAAUACUUGGAUAGAAAAUUUUAACGAGAUCGAUUAGUUUGGGUUGCUUCAAAGAUUCCUCGGCCCACUUAAGAAUGCAUAAUUUUUAAUUCGGAUACAGCAGGGUUGGUUACAAAAUUUCUCGCUAGGACCUCUCUCUAGUCCCCUCGCGUAGGCGUGAAUCCGUAUAAGGCAGAGAGAAAGAACACGUUCCAAUCACGAUUUUGAAUUCCUCGCGGUUGCCCAACAGGCUUGUUAUUCCCAUUGAAUGACCUUUUAAACUAACAUUAUUGAUGUAACAUCCCGUUAACGUUAUCUGAACGACAAUAGAGACGAACAGUUUUUCUAACAGUUUCUUCUCGAGCACCCGACCCACGUUAUUCAAUUUUACGACUACUUUUUUUUUUUUUUUUAAGGAUCCUCGACUUCUUUAUCUUACUGGUAGGUAGUUAAGAGAGACUAGAUAGAUGGCGCUCGAUGAUCUCUCCGCUUUCGUCAUCGAGUCGAUUCUGACUUGGAAGCGAUUCGCGAGGGGAGGAGGGGAUGCGAGUCGAGUUUUCUUGAAGGAAGGAAGGAGAAAAAGUUCCCACGGAGAACUGCGGAAGAGGGACGUGCAGCACUUUCGGGAGCACGUGUAACAGCUUCGAGUUAAAACCGAUUCCACACAUGGCCGAAGCUGUUUCGUGGUUCCUCCGUUUUCAGAUGCGUGCAUGCGUGCUCCUUCGUUAUGCAAGCGCGACUGUUAGACAUCUGUUUGACGUGUUUGUUAGGCCAGUGCAUUUUGGAGGGGAGGGUGAGACGAAGACGAAUUUGAUCGUGAAUAUCUCACGAGAUUGGUGUUGUUUCGGAGGAGAGAUAAUUUUUCGAACGAGAAAACAUUUUGAUCCUUUUGUGGUUUGAGGUUAUUUUGAGAUACAGUUUCAAAGAAAUUCAAAAAUAAUACAUCAUUAUUGGAUUCUUAAAUUUGAAGUAACAAUAAUUUUAUAGCUGAUGGAAUAGUUAAUGCUUUUUUUACUGAACAGUUUCAAGAUAUAAAAUAGAAACUUGUUCCACAUAUUUUCGGUAAUAUCCUUGUCGAGGGCAAGGAAAACGGAGAAAGCGUUAAUCUUUCCUCGCUAGAAGGAAUGCAGUCAAUCUGCAUUCUGUUUGACUUGAUUGGUUCAGCGGGAGUCCAUUGCCGCCAACUGCUUUGAAUAAUUAACCGAACACCGUCGAUUCUCCUAUUGGUCUCACUCGAGAAAACAAUAAAAAAAAAAAGAAAAUGAAUAAUUCCUUCAUCUAUCUACAAUUCUCCAAAAUAAGGAGAGGGGAAACUUGUUUGUUUCAAAAGAAAUUAAAAUUUCCAGCCUUAAAAUAAUUUUCCAAGAAACAGCAUUAGAACAGUAUGCAUGUCAAUGGACAAAAAUUAUCGUCGAUAAUUCACUCGUUACAUAUUUAUGAAAAAUGUCAUUAUAAAAUAGCAAUGCAAAGUUUGAUCGAGUAACAAUAAUUUUAUCGAAAAGAUAUCGAUAUCCUCUAUUUUCGAUCUUUUAUUUUUCACUCUACUCUUAUCAUUUUUAAUGCAAAGCGAAAAAAAAAAAAGACAAAGAAAAGACACGUGCGACGUGACGGCGAUAAACGAAACGAUUUUAUGUAAAUUUUAAUCGUCCAACAACAGUGAUAUCAUUCGACUGAUUCACUGGUGAUCACGUUGAUCGGGCUAAUGCAUUUAAGUGCGAGGCAACCGACGGCCUGUACUAUUAAUCGUCCGGUAAUCGAAUCGCUCAAUUGACUCGAUUUUCCUUUGAACGCCGGAUCGUCUAUUGUGCACCGCCUUCUCUUCCUCGGGUUCAUCGAAGGUGCGCCACGCGAUUUAUCCCGUCACGGUGAUAUAUAACCGUGUUAUUAGUUCGAUUUUUGAGGAAAUCCGUGCAUUUCUUCGUUUCUUUUCUUUUUUUUCUAUUUUUUUUUUUUUUUUUAAUUUUAAUUUUUCUCGAGCCUCGUACAUUAAGCGUUAUAUUGUUUCUUGUUUCCUUGAAAUGGUCAUUAAAGGAUUAAGUGAGCGACACGUGUAUUGUUACUGUGGCAUUUAAGAACGCGUUCCUUUUUUUUUUUUUUUUUCAAGUUUUAUAUUUUAUCGUUUCGCUUGUUUUCUCGAAGUGGUUAUGACCGAUUAAGUCAGUGAUAUAGAAUGUAAAAUGGAAAUGAAAUGACUGUGAUUCUUUUUAUUUUUUGAAAGAAAAAUAACGAAGAACAAAUUUCGGCGAUUCUUCGAAACGAAGUUCUUCCAUUGUGAAAAGCGAAUACUUAUCGUGAGUAGAAUUUAAAUAAUUUAAAAAAAUAUCUUUUCCUCUAUCAAUUUCCCAAUUUUAAUACCGAUUUUCCGAACCUAAACUAAACUUUCAAAAAAAGAAAAAACUUAAUGUAUGCUUUCAUUAAUUUAAUGUAUCAAAAACAGAUAAAAAAUAUCCAUCAAAUUUCGCGAAAUUUGAAUCAAUCAUUGUUAUUACAAAAACCAUAGAAGCCAUAUCAAAGAAAAAGAAUCUACUUAUGCACCAAUAACGUUCGAUUAUAAAACUUCCAAUACUCUUUCCAACGAGCACGCUACGAUAUUCGCUCGAAGUGAAAAAUAAAAAUGGAAAAGAGUGAAAAAAAGACGUGCGUUUUUCCCACUACUAUAGGUAGCAGCACGAUCUCGAUCACGCUCGAUCCCGAUCACCGCCGAUCCACGCCGUCUCUCCUUCCUGUCCCGUCUCCCUUUCCUCGACGUCUUCUUCGUCUUCUUCCUCUCGGACAUCGUGUCAUUCUUCACCGCCAGGGGCGUCAGUGUCGCCGGUGGACUCGGAAGAAGGAGGGGAAAUCAGAGGGCCGUGUGUGUCUUCGCCGUGUGUGUUUCUAUCCGGUGCCCCUCGAGACUCUUCAGUGCUUCGCGGGCCUUCGUGGCGAGCAGGUUUCGAUGAUUUCGGUUUCCACUCUUCGAUUCCCUCCUAUUCCACGACAUUCCAUCUCUCUCUCUCUUUUUUUCUCCAUUUUUAGAUUCCAGAUUCCUCAAAACCCUCCAUCACGAUCAAUCGAAUUCGUUUUUCCAGUUCGUCAUUGAAAACUGUUAUCUACGUUAUCCCAGGUUCGCGAUUCGUGGGACACGUGUCGAACGAUCUUCCUCCCGAUCGAGUAGAAGAAAAAAAAUCGAUUAUUAUCGGUCUUCGAUUGAGAACGGUAUCGUGUAGAUAGAUAUCGUCGAAGAUGGAAAAGAACUCUAUUCUUUUUUUUAGUUUGGUAAAAAAAAGUGUUAAUAAAAGCCGAUUAUUAUUUAUUAUAUUGUACAAAGAAAGAAGUGCGAGGGAAAAUAAUUAUUAAUGUAAAAAGAACAAGUGUUGACGAAAGUGGUUCGCGACGGUUCACUGUGAUAAUGGGAGCACGAUCGAAUUUCUUUGAAGUGAAAAAAAAAAGAAGAAGAAGAAGAAGAAAAGAGUGUGAUCCGAAAAAGUGUGUUCAAGUGUGUUCAAGGAAGAAGAGAAGGGAAAAAAUGUGUGAAUCGAAGUGAAGAGAAGAGAUCCGCAGUGCGUCGAAGAAGUGGAGGAACACGGGGGAAUCGAUGUAAGGGGUAUCGACAGGGGAGAAAAGUACGAAUCCUUCGAAUCGGUACGAUGCAUGCACGUACUCAUAUAUGGUAGAGAUCCAGCAGCGAGGUAUAGAGUUCCUACGUAGUGUUCAGAAAGUAGGAACUUCAUACCGUGCUCUUGGACUUGCCGAAAGAUCGUCGAAUUUUGUGUGUAUAUAUAUAUAUGUACAUAUAUAUACGUAUAUAUAUAUAAUACGUAUAAAUGUAACUAUACACGGUGUGGGGAGUGAUCGAGACGAGGCGAUGCUCGUUGGGGAUCGAUGAUGGAAAAGUACCAGCGGACGCAGCCAGAGAAGGCACCGAUAAGAACUGGGGAUUUAUCAGCGAUCGCUCGGCCAGACGACCAACUGCAGGAUGCUGAUUUUGUCGAAGUAAGUCACGUUCGAAUUCGAAAAACCUCGCCUUUUCCCGCGAACAAUCGGCUCAUGGAUCGGUUGAUUGGAGAUCGUGUCGGCUCAUUCCGAUUUCCUUCCAAUUAAUCCUCCUAAGAAGAACUUUUGGAACGGAGUUCUGAAGAAUAGAUGUUCGUUGAAUUUUAUUAUUUCUUUUUUUUAUUCUGCUCUUAAUGAGAAUUGGAGUGUAGUAAAAAAGGUGAUGGAUAGUUGAUUGAAGAUUCACGUUGAAACGAUGUGAAUUUAAUACUUGAAUAUAAUUGAGUAAAAUGAUUGGAUUGAUAUAUGUUUAAUAUAAUAUGUAACAUUCGAGAUCGGUAAAUAAAUGUGAAAAAUUGAGAAAUAUAAUAAGAAUUCGACCAUCUCAUCUGCAACUCGAUAUUCUUUGAUUUGUUAUUUUUAAAUGAUCGGUUAGAGUCAAAAAAUAAAACUAACUCGUGACGUAUCAAUAAAAUUAACAGAAAGAAAUUGACAGAAUUUAGAGAGAUCGAAGUGACAUUGAUUUUUUUGAAAGUCUUAAUACAAUACACGAGUUCGAUAAUCUAAAGAACUCGUUUCUUCGUGCUAAUCGAAUAAUCUAAAAUAUUGUUUUGAAAACGUGUAUCUUUAAAGAGGUUUGCAUUAAAAACUCUACGAGACACUCGUGCAAAUACGAUUUGAAGAAAAGAGAAGGAAAAAAAAUUGGAAUCGGUAUCGGUGGAAUAUGUAUGUCUAAAAAUAGUAAUGCUAAAGUUUCUCGGUUAGCAACCGCAUAUGCGAAUCCGAGUUUCGUUCCAACCAGAGGAUAACGAACCUUUUUUUCUUUUUUAUUUCCCAAUUUUUCAAAUAAUAGUAAACGCGAUUUUUUUUUCUUUCUUCUUCGUCGAAAACGAAUAACCGAGGAAUAUACGAUUGGAUUGAUCGGAGCACAAGGAUGAAUAUGAAUAUGAUCCGAAAGUAGACUCGAAUUAUUUUCGUCGAGUCGUUCGAUACGCUUCGAAGGUGUGAGAAAUUCAAAGACGAAACCGUUACGAUUAAUAAUUAGUGACUAAUUAUCGAUUCGUCGCGUCACCUGACUGUGCACCAUAUGACCCUCCACUUUUACGCAAGCACCACGAAAUCGAAGCCAUUUUGCGCAUCGAGCCGAUCGUUCCAUUAACCGAUUUAUUUAACGUAGGAAUAAAAAAACGAAUUUGAAAUUGUUUAAAUUAUCGUCUUGCAAAAUGUAUUCAUAUAUAUAUUUAUAGUCAGUGAUUCUCGGUCAUUUAUUCGGGAAUUGAUCGUAUAAGAAUAGAUGUGUGUAUUAUGGAUGUGCAUUGUGGAUAAAAAAAAUUGGAACUAUUUUUUCUUUCUUUUUUUUUUUUUUUUGAAACACCAGCUAGCUAUCGAUUUAACUGAAAAUAUUUUGAAUGGUGUAUGAAAAUGGACUACAUAAAUAUUUUGAAAAGUAUAAUAAAAAUACAUGGUUGCACCAGAUAUUUCUAAUCCGUGGAAGGAACUGUUUUUAUGAGAAGAAAUUUAAAACGAAAAUAUUUUGGAGCUGCGUGUGUGGUUAUUGAAGAAGUAAAUAAUACGAGAUGUAAAUAUUUACGAGACAGAUUUCUAAGAAGAGGCUGAGAAUGCAGAUCGAUAUGCCGUACAAUUUUUUAAAUUUUGAAAUCGAUUUGAUUUUUUUCCUUUCCAAUCCUUGAAAUUAUUCAUGAUCAACAAUUCAAAACGUAAAAAUCGAAUCUAUCCGAACCAAGAUCUAUAUCUAUAGUCAUGUUAAUUUAAGAGAAUUAAAAGAAAAAAAAAAUUAAUCAAAAAUAAAAAUCAGAAGAUCGCAUCGAUUUAGAUUAAAAAGAUUUAAGAAUUUAGAAGCUGUGAAAGAGAUUCAAAAUCCCAUCCUACUGAAAAAAAGGGAAAAAGGAAUUUUCAACCGUUUCUUUUCAGAAAAAAAAAAGUCAAAGAAAAAAAAAUCGCAGGAGAAGAGACCGAAUAAAUUGCCGCGAAAUCAAUAUUUCCGCGCGAAGAGGCGGCCAGCAGAUAAACGUAUUGACGAUUCGCGCUCAGUCGAUAAGCCGAUAUUUUUCUCCGAUUAACGAUAACAGCAUCGAUCUAUCCAUCCCCCCAAGUGGCCGGCGUAUACAUUUAUCACUGCUCGGGUCGAUCAAUAUUGACGAACGUCAGAUAGAGGCUCUAUCUCAUUCGAUUUCGAGUAUCCGCAGUCACUGUAGCAACAAAAAAUCUCCUUCAUCGAUCGGUUGAAAAAUCGACCAGUAAAAAAAAAAUAUACGUAUAUAGAUAUUAAAAAAAAAAAAAAAUGAAUAAAUAAAUAAAAUAAAAUAAAGAAAUCUUUUCAUCACAGCUUUUUAAAUUGGUUCCGCUCGUUUUACACGUAUACAAUACAAUCAACAGGGAAGGGUGGAGGAACGUCUCGAACCGAUAUUGGAUCCCGGAUCGAUGUUUGCAUGCGGUGACAGGAUUAUGUUUGACUCAGCGAAUCAGUGCCACGGCCAUUUGUCACUUCGAGAUUAAAUAGAGAGCCCAACUGUCUUGGAGGAAGCAGCGAAUGGGGCACGGUACAAGGGUGAUUAUUAGGCAUCCCUGUCUCUGGCUCACCCUCACGUGCCUACGUUCGCUCUUACUUCUUUCUUCCUUCUCUCUUUCUCUCUCCUUUCCUUCCUUCCUUUUUUUUUUCGUUUUUCCUUUCUCUUAACGCUGGUUAACAGCGUUACAACCCUCAUCGAGAGAUAAGACAUCUCGCAGAGAGUGAGAGAGAGAGAGAGAGAAAGAGAGAGGAUUCUGGUCCCUGGUCGUUGAAUUAGCAUGCGUCGGUCGCAAUGAUAUUUUUCACGGAGAGACACGUACGGUUUCCUCGACAAAUUGUCGCCAAUGGGCUCCAGAUGGAUAUUUGCAUUUGAGGGGCGCGGGAAGGAGGUUCCGGGAGUUUUUUUUCCCCCUCCCCCUCGCCGCUUGUACGAUUCUUCUUCUUGUUCGAUCGGAGUCACCUAUUGAAAGUUUAUCUUAUGUGAUGUAAGUUUAUUUUGAGGGACGUUGGAAUUUCUAACGUGUUCUCGAUUUUGUUCGAUUUUAUUAUUGGUAGUUGGAUGUGGAAAUAUACGCGUGACGUGUGCAUUCGUGUCGAUAAUCAAAAUUUUUGUAAGUUUCAAAUCAUUUUUCAUUUAUUAUACAAUUAUGUCACGUUAACGAUAUUCGUGGUAAUAAUAAAUUUAUUUAAAGUUUUAUUUCAUAUAAUUUAAAUGAAAAUGCAUUUGAUGAUGAUGGAUUUUUUAAAUAAUUUUUGUAGAUAAUUUUUUUUUUUUUUUGAAGAUCGAAAUUGAAGCAGUUUUCAAAAGCGAGAUAAGAGUAUUAUUUGCGGAGAGAUUGCGGAUGACCUAGACAUCUUGACAAUUUUUCGUUAGGCUUGGAUACGCUGAAGAAUUGAUAAACUCGAGUACUAACCCAAUUCAAACCACUUUUUCCUCUAUCGUAAUAUAUUGAUAUGUUUUCGUUAUCCAAAGUGGUUCUGAAUCAUCCGAUAGGUCACUUGUAUUUUUAUUAAACAAGCAAAGAGCGAGGAAUAUAAUUUAUCUAAUGAAAUUCAUUUUGAAAUUUCACGAUCACAAUAUUUGUAUCGUUAGAUUUAAUUUAUUUAAAAGGAAUCAUUAUAUGUAAAUUUUCUUCCUUACAUUAAAAACAAUUUUAUCACGAUGAAAUGAUAUAAAUUUUAUUUUCAAACUCUCAUUAAAUUUAAUGUACUUUUUUUUUUAAAUCAGUCUCACUGUUUCUUUAAAAAUUUAAUUAAAAUCACAAAUAAAUGUUUUUCAACCGAUGAAAUCCUUUCAAUCGAACCUUUAUUUGAAACCCCUUUUUUUCCGACAUUUUUUUCUCCACAUUUCCACACGUGACCCAUCCAUUCUAUUUUCAUCUCUCCUUUCUAUUUAUUUUCUUUCUUCUCUCUUCUCUCUCUCUCUCUCUUUUUUCUUUGUUUUUUUUUUUUUUUUUUAAUUUCAAUUCGAUGUGACAUUCGAAACGGUUCGGCAUUUCGAAAAGUUUCGAUGGCACACAGCAUCUGCCCGUUUUUCCAUGCGACGCGUACGCGUACGGCCCCAGCAAAAAUCACGCACGUGAAGGUGGGGUGCAUAAAUUAUAGCCGAACGCCAUCUUUCUCCCAUGGCGUGCCGAUUGGACGAGCGAAAAAAAUAUCCAUCCCUCGGCCCAAGUGCUCCUACACACGGGCCACUAUUCUCACCCCAAAUACGCGAAACACCCUGGAUCGCCAUUUUCCUUUGCGCGAUUUCCACCCCCGAUUUCCGGCCGCGCUCCAUUAACUCGACCAAGGAAAAAAAAAAUUGAAUUAAUAUCGAUUGCCCCGAGUUGAUGAAGAAAUUAACAUUUUUGAAAGAUUUAAAAAAUUUCUUAUCUCAUAGCGUUUUAAUUCAGCGAAUUAUUUUCGCUGAAUUAUCGUAUAAUACAAUGUACAAAUAAUCUUUAUUUCGGAUAAUUUUUGUAAAUAUUUUUAUAAGAAUUGUUAUUCUUUUUUUCUACUGUUCUGAUGUUUUUACAAAAAUUCUUCUUUUUUUUUUCAGUGUUGUAAUACGAUUAUCUUUCGAUGAUAAGUUUCCUUGUAUAUAUUUAAUUUAUAUCAUUCCUCGGUAAGAGAUGAUUUACGAUCGAUAUGAUUAGAAAAAGAAAUUUUGACGUAACGUAAGGGAAUAAUUAAGGGUUUAUCGUCAAAGUAUUAAAUUAUUCAUUUAUUUGUAUUACCUGAAUAUUUAGAUAUUUAUCACUGUUUAUACGCUCGCGUGCUCAAAUAGGAUUAAUAAUUAAUUUUCAAUAGCCUCUUUUUCUCCUAUUUACUCUGACCGAUCUUCGCAAAUCAUAGCUUAUUUAUUAUUCAUCGCAGAAUUGAUGGGUCAACGUUUAUCUUAAUUUCGUUAUAAUUGAUAUUCAUUUCUAUCAAUUUCUACUUAACUGAUAACUGUAAUAGCAAUGAAAUAAGAAAUGGGGCUAUUGAUUAUUCUUAAAUUUUUCACGAAACGUGAUAAGAGUACGCGGAAAAUUAUAAGGAGAAAAUUUUACUGACUGACAAUUAAUUCGACGAUCUUUUCUCUGAAAAUUGUCGUGGCAUGGAUAUAAAAAAAGAAACUAGUUCGAGACUAUCUCUCAAAUGAAUUUCAUCGUGAUAAAAGAAACAAAACGUAUUUCGUCGCAUUUGUACGAAACGAUCUACUUGUUAGCUCGGAAACAGGAUUAAAGUUUUAUGCACUUUAUCGUGCAUAAGUUUUUACGUCGUUGAACCAGCAUUAUUGAAAAACGGUUCUUCGAUCUACGUGACUGUUCGUUUCGAAGAAUUAAAAAAACAAAGAUAAACCGGUUAUUUGUAGAAAUUUUAGAUAAUUUUUUUUUUGGAUAAAAAUAAAAAACUAGCUAUAUUUUUUAUAAAAAUUAUAUAUUAUAAAAAUUCAAUGUACAUUUGUACAGAUAGAGUGAAUAGCAAAUACGAAUAUUUUUAAUAUCUUCUAGGUCAGAUAAAUUUUCGAUUUAUUCGUACUUUUAAUAGUGUUAUAUUAUAAAAAAAGCUUCCAAUAUUAUUUGAAACUUUGAUAAAUCAAUGAACGCUCCACGUUCCUUCCAUAUAUUUAUUCCGUAAAGCCAAAUUUUCAGUUCGCGCGAAUUUAUUUUCCAUAAGUGAGUUUCAUCAGUUGAUUUUUACAAAAUGCGAUAUUCGAUGCAAAAGUAAAUAAUAACAAUUAUCACUUUAUCGCGUACGAUUUUCGCAAAAUAUCCAUACACGAUUUUUUAUAUAUAAGAUUAACACACGUCGUUCGAUUUUACGUAAUAAAAUAUACAACCGACUCGAUAUAAAAAUUUUCCCAGUAUAUGCAACACAUAUGCAUCGAUGAAUCUUCGUCACAAAAAUCAUACGAGUUUAUUUAUGCAAGUGCCUAACCAUUCUCUUUUUUCGUUUAUCGAACUCGGAACUCGAGGCGUCGCUUCCCACCCCUUUCCGCCGCGUAAUGAAUUUCCUCUCCUGCGGCCAAAUCGCCACGUUCCAGGAUGCUUUCUGCGACCGUGUGCACCUGGCGCAAUUGCACAUUCGGCGAAAAUUGCGCUGCAUUGUGCUUCAUGACGCCGCUACGCAACGGCGUGUAGUAGUAACUUUGGUCAUUGAACUUCGUUAGACAUGUGGCCCGAGCCUCGCGUGCACAAGGUGUCCAGAAACUCAGGAUGCUUGCACAUAAGGCGCGCGAAAGGGGUAUGCAGUUGACUAUUACGUCGGCGAGAUUGAACGGACGUCGAUGGAGUGUGAAGGAGAACGUUGGAUGGAAUUUCUUUUUAUUUUUUAAUUUUUUAAAUUCGACGGAAGAUUUACCGAUGAUCGAAGGAUUCGCGGGGGAAACUCUUGUCGACUUUCCGUUCUUGAAGGUAUUUAUUUUUGGAAUUUGUUUGGAUUUUUUGGAAGAAUUUCAAAAACGAAAGAAUUAGUUAUUCGUUAUUCCCGAGUGCGUAGCAACGACUUAACAUAAUUUUAGGGGUGCCAGAGGUGGAUACGUGUAUAUCACGAUACUUAGUAGUAAGUAGAAUAAAUUACAUCCUUUAAACAUCUCAUUUCGUAAUAAUAUCUAUACCAGUGACCACCAUUGUCCACUGGCUAUUAUUAUUAUUAUCCUAUUCUCAUGUCGUUUUCAUUGUAUGACUUUUGGGGUGAAAUACGAAUAAAUGAAAGUUCAGAUAUUUUUGCACUACGAAACGUCUAUUAUUAAUCUAAAUCGUGAAAGUUAUCGUGGUAUCAUCAAGCCAUUAUUAUACAAAUAUUUUUUUUUUCAAUCAAUCAACGUUGUUUAACCGUGGCACAAAUAGAAUUAACAAUCUAUUUUAUUUUGGACUCAAUCUCAAUUCAAAACGAAAAGAGAAAGAGAGAGAGAGAGAGAGAGAAAGGAAAGGCCAACAGCGUGGAGGACAGGUGAAAAUGAAAAGGUCGGGAACGGGCGAAAACGGCGACCACCUAUGUUAAAACCCGUUCGCAUUCCUCGCGUACUUAAAAGCCUCCGAUCGAUCGUAAUAAGGGGCGAAAUUUAUGGGGGCGCGAUAAACUCGACGAUUUACGGCGCCAUCGCCGUUAAUAAAUAACAAAAUCGUCGAGCAAACGCGGCCGUCUGAAAAUACAAAAGGCCGGGCCAGCGCGAAGUGUAAUUUAUAAAUAUCGGCCGGCCAAUUUGUUCGCGUCCCCGAAGCGAUAAUUUCGCGUACCCGAUAACCCGCUCGCAUUGUGCGCCGAUUCAUAACUAUCGUCGCGGCGUAUACCGUCGCCGUUCGAGAUAUCGUUGGAUUCUCGUUCUUCCUUCCCCUCCUCUCUCUCGAUCCUUUUUUCCCUUACUUUUAUUUUUUUUUCUUCUAUUCUAUAGCUUGUUAUUUUUUUCCCCCGCCUUUUUUCCCUCCUCCUCCUCCUCUUUCUCCUUUUCCUCUUCCUUUUUCGUCUCUCUACAUGGCGACGAGGCGAAGGUCUCGCUAAACGGCCAUAAGUGGUGAUACGUUGUGUCGGAUCAUCGUGGUGAUGGUGAGGAUAUAUGGGUGGGUUGAGAAGAGUGUUGAAGCGAGGAGUGCGAGUGGAAAGAGUGUAGUUGAAUUGGAUCGAUGUGUUUUUUUUUUCUUUUUAAUUUUUAUAAUGACAUCGAGUCGAUUGUUUCUUUCUUUUUCUUGGAAAAUGAAAAGUGGACAGGGAGAGGAGAAUUUAUGGGAACAGGAUUUUCGAUGGUGAGGAAUAUUUUUUUUUAUUCGUUGGAAAAUUGAUAAGAUUGCUGAUAGGAUAUAUUUUGGAGGGAGGGGAUUGGAAGAAUUUCUAUUGGAGAAGGUGAAUAUCUUUUUAUUUGAUUAUUGAAUUGUUGAUGAAGAUAUCUUUUAAAAGAGAGAGAGGGGGACAGAGAGAGAGUUCGAUGAAAAGUUUUUAUUGGAAAGAUUUCUCUCUACAGAAUCUAUAAGAUCUAUAAGAAUUUGAUGCUUGAUUUUUUUCAUAUUUAUCAAAAAAGGAAAUAUUUUUCGUCGUCAAUGGAAUCUUUCUGUUAACGAAACAAUCUACAAGAAUAGAAUUUUUUAUUCGUCGAAAAAUUGGAAAAAAAUUAUCGGAAGAAAUAUUCUUUUAGAAUUACUUUCGAGUUAACUUAAUUAUUUUUCUUCAAAAAUUUUAAUUCAUUAUUAGACAUCGCAACUCGCAUUGAUUAAAAACUUUCUUUUUUAUUUUAACGAUAUUUCCAUUCUUGUUUUAGCAACGUGUCGUCGAAGCAACAAACGAGGUUGAUACAAAUCGCAAAAAUCGUUUCGUUUAUUCGUAUGAAACAAACGAGCGUGUAACCGUGGAGUAUCUCCAUGGACCCCAAACGAUUUUACAGCACCCUAUACCGCAAUUGACGUAAUUGCCAGCACAAGCAAAUCAAGUCGCGUCCGCCGUCGUCGCGUGCACGUAUUCGAAAUCGUUUCAACAGGUCGAUGAUCUUCCGGUUUCAAAAAAAUUCCACCGCCUCUUUAGAAAAUUGUCGAUCGAUUAAGAAAUACCACCAAUAUUUAUUACACAUCUCAUUUCUCGUCGUAAGUUGCAAGUUGAUGUUAAAAAAAAAAAAAAAAUAUUAAAAUUUCAUUAUUUCAUUCGAUAUGUAUAAACUGAUGUUUAAACUCAAUCUUUUUAUAUGUGUAUUUGUUUGUGUGUUUUUGUUAAGUCGUUGCAAAAUUGAAAAGAUUCGAUUAAUAAUAAAAUCCUUGACUUUUAAUUUUAUAAUUUUAACUCUUAAUGUAAAAUCUUAAUUUUUGAAUCUUCUUCAAUAAUCUUUCUUUUUCUUUCUUUUUUGAAGAAGAUCAUUUGUAUUUUUUCUCAAUCAACAUUAAAGGUUUCUUAUUUCAUAUUUCUUCAAGCGGAAAUUCUUUUUUAUUCCGUUUUUUAGAUAUGAACGAUACGAAACGAGCGACACUUGUGAGAAAGUACGUUUUCCUUCGCAGGUGAAGUCAAAGGUGCAACUCGUGUCGCGCUAAUGGAAAUCAUAAACAUUAAUUAGCGGAAUGGCUGUGGUUCCUGAGCGAGGAAUGGAUUUCUGAACUGUGUGCGACAUGUCUCUAUCGAUUAUGGAACGUUAGUACACAUGAAAUUAACUACAAUCUUCAAGAAAAAUAAAAUUUGAAACUUUAGUUCUCUUUUGCAUCAAGAAUUUCGUGAAUUUAAAAUUAAUUAAGAACAAAGAAAUGUCAAGCGUUAAUUUCGUUAUUCUUUGAAAUUUUACGAUUUCAUCGGCAAUUUAUUUAAAAGAUUUAGAUUAUAUAUUUUUUUAUAAUCAAUUUAGAUCUUCGUACAAACAGAUUAGAUUAACUGGAUUUUUAAAAAUCUUUCCAAUAAUUAUUUAUAUUUUUAUUACACCAGAAUAUUUUCCAGACGACUAAUAUUCCGUAACGAUUAACAUCGAAUUAUUUCAUUUCCACAGCAAAAUUAAACACCGAUUGAUUCAUUCGUUAUUCUAAAAUGAUCGAAAAUUUCUCAAAAAAUUGAAAUCAAUCAAAUUUCCACGUCUGAGCGCCGGCUCGAGCACGGGAUCGUCCUCCACGCUUCUCUCUGGUUAACUUAAAAACCAAUUUUAAUCCCGAUUAAACGCGGAAUAAAAGUAUUUUAGCCACAUGCAGGCGGAUGCAGCGUAGGGUCAUCUCCGAAUAAUCGAUAAAGCGGACGAAAGCGAGGCGGAAUUUAUAACCGACUAUCCCUCUUCGUCUCAAUAAACUUGUAUAAUCGCGCAAUAUGGUUAUAUAUCGAUUCGCCAUAAAACAGACGACUGCUCCAUCCCGGUGAAAUACCGCGAAAAUAACUCGCUACGUUUCGUUUAACUCUCCGCAGAUCGCCGCGAUAAAAUCGCCUAUAAAAUUCAACUACCUGUCGCGUUCAUUUGGAAAAAAAAAAAAAAAAAAAAGGAAGAAAGAAAAAAGGGAAAAAAUAUGGGAGGGGGAGGGGAGAAAGAGAGGGAAAGAGGGACGGAAAAACGGAACGGGGGGGGGGGAAAAAAAAAGCACGUAUAAAACUACGUGACGUGUGUCAUACACACAGGUCGAUAGGUGUCACGUAGAUCUGUACUGUGCACACCGUGUUCACCAAAUCGUUGUACAAUCAGGAAGAAAGUGAUUGUUGAUUUGUAAAAGAGGUGUCUUUUUUUUUUUUUUUUUGAGUUUUGUUUUUGACUGUGUUGUUUUUCUUUUUUUUUUUUUUUCAGAGCGAUGAGUUAUGAUUGGAUUGCGGAUGUUUGCGGAUGGUUUAUGAAAAAUUUAAAUGUACGGAAAUCUGCGAAAACACAAUUUGAAUACAAUCGUAUUUUUGCAUCGAAAUCGCGAGUCUUUUAUGAAUAAUUACGAAAGUAAUCGUUUAUCGACAUUAAAAACUUUACGUAAAAAGAAAUAGAUUAAUGGAUGGGAUAUUGAAAGUUUGUUUAGAGAUAAUAAAAAAAAAAAAGAGAGAUUUGGUGAAAUAUGUUGCUUUUGUUUUUUUAGGAUUUAAAAGACGAAUUCAAUUAUUGUUCCUUUUCUAUAAUUGCAGCAAUGGAUUAUAUUAAUUUGCAUUGAAAAGAUUUACGAAAAGUGUAAAUCAAUCGAAUCGAAUAUCUCGAAAAAUAUUUCAGGCAAAGUUCAACUUUAUUCCUUAAUACUAAAAGUAUGGCACAAUAUUUCACCUUCGAUCUUGCAAAAAUGAUCACUGGAAAGAUAAGCGAAACACAAAAAUACCGUUUCCUGUUCUCUUAUUUCCCCUCGGCAUGGAAUUUUCUAUAAAAAGAAAAGAAAAGAAAAGAAAAGAGAAAAAAUGCAUUUUGACAAUUUCGUCGCUUUUAACGUAAAUAGCGCGUAAUCCGAUAUAUCACACUCUAAAUUCUGUUUGCGCAAAGUGUCGUAAAGCUUACGCUACGAUAAAAAAACUGAUAGACGAAUAGAAAAAAAUUCCUCACCUGUUUCUAUUUGUCAUUCUUUUCUUUCUUUUUUUUUUUUUUUUUUGAACAUUUAUAAAUAAGGACAGGAUAAUUUAUAAAUAAGUAGAAAAAAAAAUAGAAGAAAAAGUCAAGCAUAACUCAUUAGACGACGAUUCAACGUUAAAUACGACACGAAGGGAUGUCGAGGAUGGAACGAGGUAAAUAUUAUUAUUUUUUUUCGGUUUCGUUGUUUUCGACUCGAGCCGCAUUUAAUCGACUCCGAUUUAAACUGUGCAAAUGUUUUGACGUCUGGUGUUCUUUUCACGGCUCGUCGUGGUUCGUCGACUCCACGAGUUUUGCGACAACGACGACACGGCUAAGCGUUUCGUCAGUCGACGCGUCGUAUUUCCCGGAGAGGAUGCUAUCUGUCGCGCACCGUUUGUCCAUUUCGUUAUUGUUUUUUCUCUCUUCUGCUUUCGCUUCGUUAUUUUUUCUUCUUUUCUUUUCGUUUUUUCUUUUUUCUUUUUUAUUUAUUUAUUUUAUUUUAUUGUUUUUUUUUUGCUGUUGCUCUCACGAUAAUGUUACGAUAAAUCGUAUCGUUGACGCCCUCGUAACUUCCCGUGAAACAAAGGCUCGAUAGAAAAAUGGCUAUCGUCGAAUGUAAAUUACGAAUUAGAAUUUGUGAGAUGAAUAAAGGAGAUAUUACAAUGGAGGAGAAAAAAAUAUAUUCGGGAACGUUGAAAAGAUUUUUAAGAUUCCUUUUUUUUGGAAUUUUGUUGAAUUGCGUCCUUUUUCCUUUACAGGGAAAUAAGUAAAACGGGCUUUAAUAGUUUCUCGAAUGGUUAAUAAAUAUUUUCUUUCAUCUCUUGCAUAAUAAAUAAGCUUCAUAUGAAUUUUAAAAAACGCAAGCAUGAUAAUAUAAGGCAAGAUUGCUAAGGAAAUAAAAAAAAAAAAUAUUUAAAAUAUAUAAUUCUGCUUGAAAAAAAAAAUGUCAUAAAUAUAUUUACGAUAACGAGGAGCCGCUUAAUUUUUCCAUAUAUUCAUCUUUAUCCAUGUUUAAAGAAAAUUACGAUAAAGUGUCUCGGUAUCGAUUUUUUAAACGGAUACUUGAAUAUUAAUCUUCCCCCUUCUCCUUUUUAUAACGUAAUAACCGGCAUCUUGCAAUGUAAUCUCAAUAUAAGCAAUACAAGUGUAUACAAGGAUCAAAUAUUUCUCCAAAGAAACAAUUUUAAUAAAUCAUCAAAGAAGGAAGCUUUCUAAAAAAAAAAAAAAAAAACAAAUUUUCAAAUCACAAUUUGAACGAACGAAAAUAAUAUAUUUCAAGAAAAAAAAAUAUCGUCAUUCGGUUAUAAAGGUUAAAAAUUAAUCGUUUAAUUAAAUCCAUUCGUUACGAUUUAAUCCAUCCUGGUUCAAAUAUAUAUUCGAAGAGGAAAAUAAAAAUUAAAAAAUAAAAAGAGAGAGAGGGGGGGGGGGAGAAGUAAAACGCAGCGGAACAGCAAUUAAAUCCAUAGAAUAUGGUCGAUCGUGAAUUAUUAAAAUUGAAAAACGAUGGGGGAGGGAAGAGAGGAGGGGGAAAUUUUUCAAAUGAAACUGGUUACAACGAGGGGGAGAGUGGAUGGAGAGGAGAGAGGGAGAGGAACACGAUCGCGGCAAACCUUCAGAACAAACGAAUAUUUAUUUCCGGUUCGCCGGCUGCCGUUUUAAUAAAUUCAAUUAAACAUCUUCCACGGUGAACGAACAAAUUUCUGUAACGGCAUUUUCGAGGCGCGUAAAUUGUUUCGACGGCUGUGUAUUUAUUCGCGUGGAGGCCGGAGGUAUCAUUAUGAAAAUUUAUACACCGUUAUGAAAUGAUUUCGUUAAAUUGCUUAAUUAGCGGGCCGUGGUUUUAAAACGAGUGCUUGGCCCGAGCCGAUAUUACGCGAGCAGAAAUUUUCGGUAAUUUCUCUCGCUUCGACGAAAUGUUUCUAAUUAACGAUUAUAAUUUAAACUUUGCCCCAAAAGGAAUUACAUCUUCGUUUUUUAACCGGCGACGAUAUUUUCCUGCAUUUAUAUCGAAACGUAUUUUCUAUUAAACGAAUUACACGUGGCAAGUAUUAAGACUUAUGUCUCUGAGAUGCUAUAAAGUGGCGCUAGUAUUCUCAGAUAUAUUAUAUUAGAUAUAUUUGCUUUAAUUAGUCGCAAAAAGUUACUAUUCCACGCACGUUAUCAUCUUUUUUAAUUUUUAUUUCGAAAUACUCGAUAUUAUUGUGUAUUUUCGAAUAUUUAUCGUUGCGAGAAACUGCAAAUUAUGUUAUUUUAAAUUUUGCUAUUAAAUAUUAGAUUCGGUUAAAAUUAGUUCGCCAAGUAUCGAUCGCCAAUCGAGGAAAUAGAAUUAUUCCAAAUAGAGUUAUUAUCUCAUUUUGAUCUCUGAUGAAGCGAGCUCCGAUGAUACUGAGAGCAGCGAAAGAUUAAAAUUUUCAUUCCAAAAUAACAUUAGAUUAACAUCCAAAAGCUCCAACAGUAAUAUAACAUCGUGGCGAUCACGAGAACGUCAAAUCUCGAUAUAAAUAGUUUUAGAAACGAGGGAAUACGAAUCGAAAAAGAAAAAUUUUAAAAUAUAUUUUUAUUUCUAUAGAAAUGAACAUUUUUCAAUAGAUAUAUUACUUUCGAUGGAGAGCCAGUGAUUUGAUCGAUGCCUUUGGCUACUCGUUUGUAAUCCGUCUUUAUGUGUGGUCGAUGAUCAUCAAACGUAGAUAUUAAAAGAGGAUGAUUCGUUCCUCGAUAUCUAUGGCAGAAGAUCUUUAUCUCUUGGCGGACCAUUCCUCUUAUAAUUGUAUUCUUUUUAUUUCUGAAAGGUCUUAAACGGAGACGAUUCGAACGUGAUGUCAAAGAUUAAUUCUCAAUAUUAUUUAUAUCGAUGCUUACAUCUUUCAUUUAAUGUCAGCUUUAUGUGAUUUUAUUUAUUUUAUUUAUUUAUGGUAUUUUUUUAUCUUCGCGAUUCAAGAAAUUUUAUUUUAAAAUAAAAUCGUAUUGAUUUAUAUCCCUUUUCUAAUAUAUACUUUCAGUAGAUUCGUUUCUGUAAUUUCAUUUCAUUUAAGAAAUAUAUUUUUUUUUUUUCUAAUAUAUAUUUUAUUUCCUAUUACUAAAUGCUAAGUAUAAAGUUACGUAAUCUUAUUAGAACACGCAUGAAUGCUAUUUUCCCGAGUUUCUGAUUGUUCAUUCUUAAAUUUCAUACCUUUCUAUUUCUGCAAUUUAUUAUAUUGUAUCCGCUUAUUUUUAUUUUUCUUUUACAAAAAUUGAUGAAUUAUUUUUUUCAUUUUUAUAGUAUUACAUUAAAAAGAUUUCAUUUCAGUAGUUUUUAAUGAACGUACACGCGCUUAUUACACGGUGUUUAAAAACAACACGAGUUUAAAACUUUAAGAAUUUAAUUUACCAGUGUUCGCGAAGGGGAAUAAAAAUAUUUAAUCGAUACAGGUUCUAAAAUCAAUACCUUCGGUUUAAAAUAUAAUAUUUUAUAUCUUUUCCACGUACAGAUAUUUAAGAAACCUUACCCGCUAGCAUCGAAUUUAAACAUCUUGAUUAAAUUACUAUCAAUAAUUAAUUUAAAAUAAAACUAUUAAAUAAUAAAGUACCGUUAAUAUACCAGUCCAGCAAAAUCUUUUCAGAAUUUUUCUUCAAGAUGCAGAAGCGUACCAUAAAUACAAAUUUCUUCAUUGUGCAUGUUUUUGCACCACGCCAAUACUAACGUAGUCAAAAGGAUAUUAUCAAAAAAAAGAAAGAAAGAAAGAAAAUGAUAUACAUGUAUGGUUAAAAACAGAUUAAAAGCAAAUGAAUGCAUAUUCGUUUAUCUGUAAUUUCCAGAGUAAAUUACAUCCUGUCAAAGAUAAGCAAGAUUGUUCGUACUCUGUUGAACAGUGGUGGGACAUAUGCAAGAUUUUCAAGGAGUAUCGUUCGAUUCGUUUAAUUUCGUUGUUUCUCGGCCGUGCCCGACAAUUCCCUCUCGUUAAAAUCUACGUCAUGAUAAAUGAACUGCCGAUGCCCGCCAACCAAGCCAGAAUGCGGCGACGUCCGCUCGAAUAAUCACGAGAUAAUUACUUUCCUGCACACGGUCCGCCCAAACCGCUCAAAAGCCGGAUCUCCCGCGGGAGUUCCAAGGAUUCAUGGAACGGACGGACGCGUUAAACCGCAGGAAGGAACGGUUUUUCGCCAGCCCGGAUAUCCAACUUGCUUAAAACUUCUCUAAGAACAAUUUUGCUCCUAAUUUUUUCGAAAUUAACUCCUCGUUGUUUCGUUUUUUUUUUUUUCCUUUACUUUGAGAUUCGUUCGAAAGAAAAUGAUUUUUCUCGGAUAUUUAUGGAAUUGAGUUUUUUUUUUUCGUAAUAGAGUUUAAAUCUAAAUGAGAUGUAAUAUAUUGUGGAAUUGAUUCGUCGUUGUUUCUUCGGGAUUCGAUUCGUUUCUUCUGUAACAGAAGAGAUUUUUUUUUUUGGAUAUGAUUUGGAUGAGUUUAAUGGAUUUCUUUUUUGAAAUGGAAAUUUGAGAUGUUAUGUGUACAGGAUUAUGUGUUUUCGUUACAUAUUUGAAAUAUGCAAGUAAUGAAUAUUUUCGUAAAUUAAAUUGGAAAUUUGUGAAUAGAAUGAAAUUUCUCUAGAGACACGAUAUUAUAAUUUUGACAGAUAUAUGGUUCUUUUAAUGAAAUCCGAGAUUUCUGUUUCUAAAAUAAGCGGUAAAGCAAUAUGAAACGAAACAACAGGAAAUUUAAUAAAAUGGAAUAAUGGGAUGAACUCGAGAUGAAGCUUGGAGAGUUCAAAACAAUUUGGACAGGAAGUGGCAAACGAGAUCAUAGCAUAGCUAAUUUAGUACAAACUCUGUCUGAAAAUAUUUUGUUCUUUGUCUUUCAAGAAUCGUUCCUUCUUUCUCUAAAAAAUAAGAAUUUAACUUCAAAUUAAAUUUUAAUUAUAAUUAUAAUCGAAAUUUCAUUUCGAAACUUACGAUUCGUUAAAUUUUCGUAAUAAUUAAAACAAUAUUUAAUUUAAAGUAGAUUCUUAUUACACUUAUUACACUUUGCAAAACGAUAACAAAUUUAAUAAUAGAAUAUUAUAUUCGUUAAUUCACAAUAGACACUUAUUCCAGGCAAAAUGACAAAAUUAUAUAUGUCCGUAUCAUUGUUACACCUACAUCCAAUCUUUCAUCAUUAACGCUUUCGAUUCUAAGUAAUAUCCACUUAAAACAGGAACACCGAAUUUCCAAGUAUUGCGAAUUAUUUCAAUGAAAAAUUCAAUAUAACAACAUAUUUACCCAAUCUCCUAUCCUCGAUAAAAAAUUACAAAAAUUAGAAAUUAAGAAUCGAAAGAUAAUCUCUGAAAAAAUCGAACUGGAAUAGAAAAUAUCGCAAUAUUUCUUCUGCAUUCUUCCCCCUCCAAAAAAACUCAAUAAAACUCUCGAUCGAUCCUGGAAGACGGUAAGUAAAUUUCCAGAGCGUGUCCAUCAAGGGAUCGAGAGGCUGUUUAUCUGCCUCCACCGCCUCGUCCUGUUCCUAACCAUUUCCUCUUUAUUCCCGUCCCCUUUCCUCCUCCACAGGAUUCCAACUACAGUGGUAACAAAAGGAUCGGCGCGCGUAUGUGCAGGCGCACCGUAACCGAGGACAGCAAUAUCGGGGGUGGGAUUUAUGGGGCAUGACGGAGAUUUACAACGCUUCUCGCGUCCAUGGCUCUUCAUGGAUCGGUGGAUCGGUAGGGAGAGGCCAUGUUCCGCUCGCUUUCGAUCGUUCUCGAUCUUCUUUCCGCCGGUCUCUGCACCUGCACCCACGAUCACCAGCGCGGAUCGUCAGAUGCGCCCGCGGCCGAGCGCGAAUCGGAUUCGGGUUGGACGGAACGCGUGGGAGGGCCCCGCGUGCCAGGACGUGCCGUUGAAUCGUAAUCGACUCCGGUUAAAUCGAUCCAGCGCCAGACCACCGCUCUUUAUCCCUUCGUUUCGGCCGUAUCUCGAAAGAGAGAAUCGUUCGAGGACGUUUUCCGUGAUUUUAAGUGUGAAGACCCCGUUUCUCCUUAAGUUUCGUAUAUAUAUAUAUUUGGUGAGGACGAUUCCCUGAUCUUAAGUGUGAGAACCCCGUUUCUCGUUAAAUUUCGUAUAUAUAUGGUGAGGACGAUUCCCUGAUCUUAAGUGUGAGGACCCCGUUUCUUGUUAAAUGUCGUAUAUACAUGGUGAGAUUCCCUGAUCUUAAGUAUGAGAACCCCGCUUCUCGUUAAGGUUCAUAUAUAACGAUGUUUCUUGAUUAUAAAUAAGAGGACGAUGUUUCUUUGUUAAUUUUCGUUUGUAAUAUCGCUUCUUUUUAUAGAUUUGAGAAAUAAAAAUAAUAUCUUUACAAAUAUUUGAUAUUCGGGAAUGAUUCCUUGAUUUUAAGUAUGAGGAUCCCUUAUUUUUUUUUAGAAGAAAUAAAAAUUGUUUAUAGAUUAAUAGAUAGUUUUUUUACAGAUUUAGAAUUAACGUUUUCGAAAGAAUCGUUUCAAGAAUGUUUCGUAGUUUUUCUUUAGUCAAUUGUCAGAAUAAUUAUAUAUUAAAAUUAUUCUGUUCUAUCCACGAUCUAGAAACUCGGUUUGACGAUCGUCCCAUUUUCAAAAAUACGACGAAAGGGGAGAAAAAAGCAAUUCGUGGUGCAGGGAUUAAUUAGAAAAUCGUGCAUUUUCUUUUGCGAUUAAUGGGAAUGGGAGGAGGUGCGUGCAGCUUCGUACGCGAGUGUAGUUAAUUGGCAGGACUUGCGAUGCUUUCGUGGCGAGCAUUAAUUUAGGAAAACUGUAAACACACGCGUGCACCGUUUUUGGAUAUUAUUCGAUAGAAAACCACGAUGGCUACCGCACCGGCUAUCGGUUGUUUUAUCUCUCUCUUUCUCUCCCUCUUUUUUUUUUUUUUACUUCUCCCUUCUCCAUCCUCUCUCUUUUCAUCGACGCCGAUCGAUAGCUAAUUACGCGUUUACACGGAACGAACAGAAUCACCCGCGGCCGAAAUUAAAAUGAUUUCAACCUCACGCCGCGUUUUUUGGCGAUAACAAACGGAAAUAAUGAAUAGUCUCGAGCCUCUGAAUACCGUUCAAACAAAAAUUAACGCGCAUGCGUCGCGUCGGGCUUAUAUGCAUAUUUGUUUCAUUAAUAUGAAUGCGAUUUCCUUCUCUUUCUUAUCGGGUUUUUCCAUUUUUCCUCGCUGUCCGAUCGGCUGUGUGUACACGUUUGUUUGACGAUCAAAAGAUUCUUUCAAGUCGGAUUUGUUGUUCGAACAAAGACACUUGGAAGCCUAUUUCGAAGAAGAGGAGGACUCGAAACGAAGAAGAAGAAUUCUAGAAGAACCAUCUAGGGCGAAAAAAACGGAAACUUCCCACCCAUCAGGUAACCGGCGUGUUUCCUUCGAUGGGAAAUCCGUGAAAAGUCACGAUUGAAUUAUCCCAUCGUGGCAGAGGCAGAGGCAGAGGCACCAAUGUGCCGGUACGUGGCUCGUCGUGGAGAGCACGAAGGAAAAACGGAGUUUUGGUGGCAGCAAACCUCCAGCCAGAUAUUUCAACGGGGCUGAACGUUACGAGGGGCUGGAAAUGGCUGGAGAUCUUCGUCGAGAAGAAUUUUAUUGCCACGACCCGAAUUCCAACGAUUUCGAUAUGGAUUGCUUUCGUUAUUUCUUAAAAUUGUCGCGGUAAUUUGUGGAAGUUUAUCAUAAGAUGAAGUGUAACGGGAUAAUUGGUGAGAUUGCAUAUUCAUUUUAGAGUUUGAUUUUUGUAAUAAUACAUUGUGGAAUGAAAUGAAGAGUAAAAAGAACGAAUUAAAAAAGAUUAA
Long non-coding RNA from Apis cerana (Asiatic honeybee), 60091 nucleotides. RefSeq lists it as uncharacterized. The record is from RefSeq and is a predicted model, not a curated record. NCBI's taxonomy places the organism in Eukaryota, Metazoa, Arthropoda, Insecta, Hymenoptera, Apidae.